RNAcentral lists this long non-coding RNA (78467 nucleotides) under Solanum tuberosum (potato). Its description in RNAcentral is "long non-coding RNA (STUB_LNC010875)". The record is from RNAcentral. Lineage: Eukaryota; Viridiplantae; Streptophyta; Magnoliopsida; Solanales; Solanaceae.
UUCUUUUUUUGUGUGUGCGUGCAGGCAGGCAGUACGUGGAAUCAUGCAAUCUUAUUUAAAAUGCACUUGUGAAGAGGUUGCAUUUUGACAAUCUUGGGAGGGUAGGGACUUGUAUAAAUAGCAAUAGUUCCUCAAGGAUCUUAAGAAUUUCAUUCGGAUCUCGCAGCAUAAGUUGUGCAUUAAUCUUUGUUGUCAACAAGUAUCUACUUAGCUUCUUUUGACCGUAUCAGGUGAUGGAUGAGCUGGAUUUAGCAUGUCCUUAGCAUUAUGGAAAUCUGCAUCUUCAAAGCGGAUGGUUCAGGCAAAACUCUUAGAUUUAUAUAGUAAGGAAACUGGUUGGGACACUAAAUUUGCUGUAAAUUGUAAUGUUGUUACCUUCUCUUUCUCUUUCUCUCUCUCUCCUCUCUCUCAAAUAGAUUAUGGUAAAGUUUGAUAGUUUGCAAAUCUUAAAGCGCUCAGUCUAAAGGUUUGCUGUUGGCAAGAUUGACAUGCCUUGUAGUAGGCUUUAAGUACACUUGAACUACUCUUGGUCGCCUAUUUACCAGGGUAUGUUGCUAUAUAGUAAUUUUCAUCUUCUCAAGCUUAAACUUUGUAUAUAUAACUUGGGAAGUUUUAACUAAUGAAAAGUGCUGAUGAAUCAGUACAACUCAUGGACAUGGUCACCUCAGUCCACAGGCCAACAAAACUGAUCAAAUAAACAAACUAGGUUUAUUUACAAAGUCUAUUCAAGUCUAGAGUACAACAAACAAUAACACUAAUUCUUUUGACUCUUUACACAUCUAUCUGCUUGGUUAAAAAUAGUUACAAUUGAAGCUAAUGUAUAAAAUGGUAUGCAGAGCUAUUGCGUAGAAGUACCACGUCCAGCCUUAGACGCAAUGAAAGACUCUUCAGACACACAACGAUAACAUGAAUCAAGGAAGAGAUGGAGAGAAUAAAAAAAUAGUAAUUUUAGUACUUUAACAGUUCAGACUUACAGUAUAUAAAAAAAUUCAGAAAUAUAAUCUUGAUUAUACAAGCCUUUUCUUUUUUUUAGAAUCCUUUUACCAAAAUUUUAUUGGAAAUGACACUGUCCUCUUUUAAGGUUCACUGUGAUGAUCAAUAGAAGUGUCAAUUUUUACAACUUUCUAAAAAAGCCUCAAGUAAUAGACUUUAACACAUGAUUAUAAAGUAUUUGAGAUGACCAUAACUCUUCGUUUGUAAAUAGUCUUCAGUGAUUUUGAUUUCACAAUGUUUGGUGAGAAAUUAAAACGACUUGAGAUGCAAUUGAUUCAAAGCAUAGUUCUAAAUUAAAAAUUCUCACGGAAUAAAAAAGAUAACAAAAUAAAGAAGACAAUGUUGCAAAGAAGAGGAUCUUAAAAACUCUCUUUAGCACUUUCACAUGUCGGAGAAGUUCUAUAAGCUUUCUUAAGAGACGUGGAUGUAACUUGUUACUUAUCUUUAGCUUUUGUUUAUGUUAUUUUGUAUUUGAGUUUGUUUUUUUAAAGUUGUUUAAGGCUAAUCUUUUAUCCUUUUUUUUGUUUUGUUUUGUUUUGAACUAUUUUUAUUAAUAAAAUUUAGCCUCUUUGGCCAUUUUGUUUAAAAGAAGAAGAAGAGAAGAAGUUUUUAAUCAACGAAGAAAAUCAUGACACACAUAAAGUAUAAUAGAUCACUUUCUAAAAUAAAAAUUUUGAUAAAGAAGAGGAGAUUUAAUUAACUAUGGGACAUCAAAGUGAAUAAAAUAUUGAUAUUAAUCAAAGUUUAUUAUUUACAAUAGUGCAAAAAAUAUUAUUGACUUUAUAUAAAUUUGAUUUUAAAAAAUUAUCUAUUUGCAUGUGAAAAUACUGUGAUAGUAUGUUACUCUACAAGACAAUCAAGUUCUGCUAUCAUGUCGAUGAAAGUGUCCGUUUUAUUUAAUUGUUAUUAUGAACAAGUCAUACAAAAACCUUGACUGAGACAACGAGAUGACGAACAAAAUGACAAACAAGACUGUAUUUGACUGAGCUUAAAAUUCGACAUAUCCAAAAGAUAUUUGUUAUACUUACAAAAAUAAUACCAUUAAUAACAAUAUUUGAAAAACUAGUACAUAAAAUUGGACAACAUCAUCUACAAAAAUUAAUCGAUAUUUUAAUUAGACUGGUGUGUGUUGUAGUACAUGUACUAUUUUUUCCUUAGUCAAGCUUUUCUUUCGUUAGAUUUUUUUGGCAAGAUUUUUAAUGAAGCAAUUAAUAAUGCAUAUUACUAGAUAUAUGACUUGUUUUUUUUAUUGAAAUAUUUUUCACAAGCUUUUUUCUAAUAAGAUUUUAACACGGUACAUUAUCUAUCUAAAUAUAAACAUCCAAAAUAAAAUAUUAUGAAAUAAUAAAUUUGAAUAUUAAUUUAUGCUCCGGAGCGUUUAUGGUACGCCCGCCUCGAAACUCGCCCCGAAAAUGUUUUUGAAAAUACUGAUUAGUAAUAUAAUAUUUUGCGAGUUUGGAUUUAAUCGAGCUCAAAUUGGAGUAUGAAAAAACAAAAAAGGGCAAAGGGUCAAAUAUACCCUUGUACUAUAUGAAAUAGUUUAAAUAUACCCUUAGUUAUACUUUUGGGCUAAAUAUACCCUUUUCGUUAUACUUUCAGACUAAGUAUACCCUUAUCACUAACAGAGGACACGUGGACGGCUAAAAUUAAAAGAAUUAUUUAAUUUAAAAUAAAUCAAAUUCGAAUAUAACCCGCCCCGAAUAAUUUAACUCAACCUAAUCAAUUCGGCUACCAUUCUUGGCAACUCUGUCAAGCUUCUUUGCAUCAUCAUGAAAUAUAAAGUCAAUUGUGUCAUUGUAAUCCAGAAACUCUUCCAUUGUUUACCAAUGCUCACCUGAGUUGUUCCAUUGGCAGCAUUCUUGAUCCAUAGAGCUAUUUUUUCUUGUCUAACUUGAACAUUAAUAAUCACUCCACAAAUUUCAUCUCCAAAUUUCUCUCCAGUCAGUGCCAACAUCAUGUACAGCCAGCUGGUGGGUCCAUGUUAUAGAAAAGCUCAUCGUUCACUUCCCUCCAUUGACACAUACAGGUGGAUCAAUGUUAUAAAUUAGGUCGGGUUAAAUUAUUUGGGCGGGGCAGGUUAUAUCCAAAUUUAAUAUAUUUUAAAUUGAAUAGUUUUUUUAAUCUUAACCGUUCAUGUGUUUUCUGUUAGUCAUAAUGAUAUAUUUAGCCCAAAAAUAUAACAAGAGAAAUAUAUUUAGCCCAAAAAUAUAACAGGAGAAAUAUAUUUAGCCCAAAAGUAUAACUAAGAAUAUAUUUAAACUAUUUCAUAUAGUACAGUACAGGGUAUAUUUGACCCUUUACCCGAAAAAAAAAAGUUAGGAACUUUCCAUGGCCUAAAGCAAGAAGUUUCUAAUAUCUUGAAUCCCUUUGUUUCCAUUGUCUCUUUCUUUGACUCUACACAUUCUUUCAUCUGCCCCAUUCCUGAAGGCUAUUGAGUCUUUGGGGCUCUCCAAGAUUUGAUAUUUAGGGGAGCUCUUCUUUCCUUGAGCCUACAUUUUUUAUUCUUGACAUCAAUCUCCAACACCCAUUUGCUUCAACUACAGAGAAAAUCCCUCCAGAUUUUUUCUGGGUUUACUCUUCUUCUUUUUCUGUGAAUUUUUGUUUUUGGCUAAAGGGGUUUCAGAGCAAAGGGUUUUCUAUGGAUUCUCAAGUUCUUGUUGCUCUUGGUCUUUCAUUGUUGGGUGGAUUGAGUACCUCUCUAGGUGAGUAAAAAGUUCCUUUUUUUUAUUUCUUUGUUUGGAAUAGUUUAUUUUCUCUUUUGUAAAAUUGGAUUAAUUAUCAGAGCCUGAAAGUGCUCUAAUCUUAUGUUUUUCUUCUCCAAUUAUCACAUAGCUAGAGAAAAAUAAAACUUAUGUGACCUUGUUUGACCAGGGGAUGGAGGAGUUUAAGAAACAGAAUUGUUUUUGAAACUUGUGGUCUUAUUAAGCCAUAAAGAUUUAUCUGGCAAUGGAUAAGGUAUUUAAGAAGUUAAAUUAUUUGUAAAUAUAGAUAUGAGUCAAUUUCUUGGAUAAACUAAAAGGCUGAGUGUACCACAUAAAUUGAGACAGAUGAAGUAAGUUUUUUUGAGUAAUGGAAGUCAAAGUGUGGCCUUUUUCAUUUUUUGUGCUCAAUCCUGUGUCUUUUCUGUAAGCAUAGUGAAAACCAUAUUGCUAAAACUUCAAUAUUUAUAGUCCCACUUAGCUCAUAAAAACUGUAUAAUAUUAAUUGGAGACUGAUGGCGCUAUUACUUUAUGGUGGUUGUUUCCAUCUCCUUUGUGUGUUUUGAGUUUCUAGAGUGUUUGAAGCUACAAGGGUCCUCCCUAAAGAAAGUUUAGUAAUCUGAUCUAUUUUUUCUUAUCUGCAGGUGCACUUUUUGUGGUUAUUAGCCAGGCUCCUAACUUGAAGAUGCUAGGACUUUUACAGGUGAUGGUUAAUCGUAUUUGUAAGAAUGUCAGAAGUAAAAUGGUUAAUUCAAGUGAUUCAUGGUUUCUUUGUCACUUGCUUGUUUAAGCAUGUUGUCUGGUAAAUGUUUACUGUCGGUUAUUUUAUAUAUUUUCUGACUUGAGUAUUUUAAAUUUUGAGCUGAAGAAAAGGAUCAUUUGAUUUUUAACUACUGAUGGUUUAAGCUUCCUGAGCUUAAAAGAACUCAUUAUGGUCAGAUGUGGAAAUGCCAAGAGGUACAUAGAUAGCAGAGAACUGAACCUGAAUAAUUUCUUUGGUUGUGCAGGGGUUUGCUGCUGGUCUUAUGCUUAGCAUAUCAUUCUUUGACUUGGCUCAUAAUGCUAUAAACUCCAUUGGCUUCUUAAAAGGAAACCUCUGGGUGAGCUAUCUCCUAAUUUUAUUUUGAACUUUUUCAAUCUGUUUUCCACUUAAAGAAGAAACAUACAGUUCUUGGAUCUUAAUUGCGAAUCUCUGGACUGUCAGUUUUUUGCAGGUGUUAUCUUCUUUGCUCUUGUUUCAAAUUUCAUCCCGGAACCUACACUUGCACCCAUUUCAAGUGCCAAAGGCAAAAAGGUAUGGUGUGAUUUGUUUUUUAUAGGAGAAAAUCUCGUUUAUGCAAAAACUAUCAAAGAAUAAAAAUGGUUUUCUGCAUGAGAACAGAAAGACGGAGAUGAUAGGGGUAAGGAUAUUAUGAAGAAGCAUCGCCGCCAAGUUUUAUUUAGUGGAAUCAUCACAGCAGUAGGUUAGUCUGCUGUAUUGGUUUGUUGAUAAUUCCCAUAGAUUUUACAGCAUUUUUUGAUUCUGUUAUGCUGUAAACCCUCCAUUUGAGUUCUCAUUUGAAGAACUCUGAAUUGUUUGUGAACUAGAUCUGAUUAAGUGCUGAUAGUGGAAGCCUAUUUUUGACAUUUCUUGUUGUGUCAGAGUCUCUUUACAAAUAUGGUAUGCAAGAGCACAUACAUUCUUAAAAUAAAUCUAGCUGAUUCUUCAUUUUUAUGUCUCUGAAGUAGUUUGUGAACUAGGUCUGAUGAAGUGCAAAUUGUGGAAGCCCAUUUUUGACGUUUCUUGUUGUUUCAGAGUCACUAUACAAAUAUUUUAUGCCAGAGUACAUAUAUGCUUAAAAUAAAUCUUGCUUUAAUCUUCAUUUUUAUGUCUCUGAAGUAGUAGCACUCCCCACCUACAUGAGAAAUUUUAUUAGGAAGUUAACUUAGAUUUCUAAUAAGUAUAUUGCCCCCAAUUUAAGCAUAGUCUUGAACAAAAUAAUUAAGAGUGAUAUAGUGUGGCCUGUAUAAUUUACCUGGAGUUUUUUCAAAAUUCUUAUCUGGAGUCUUGUUCAGUUUCCACAGUGCUAAGUUAUGAGAAGAAUAUUACAAAUCUUACUAAAUUUGUUUUUUCUAUCUAGUUUGUCGUUAGAAUUAGUUGUUGGUAGGAGGUGCUAGGUAUCCAGUGGAAUUAGUCGAGGUGCGUGAAAGCUGGCCUAGACAUCAUGGUUAUAUGAAGAAAAAAGAAGAAUUUAAGUUUACCCUUCAGCUAAGGUUCUAGUAGGUGCUAGAUGCACAGUCUUGUGGUUAAAUAAUCCCUUUCUGUUCAUUCCUUAUUGUCUGUAGCGAAAGUCAAGUCUCUAUUUGGACUGUUGUGGUGUAACUUAUUUAUGCUGUAAUAUGUAAGGUCUUCCUAUAGUAAAAGUAGAUUUCCCUCAAUAGUUUGUAGAAAACCAUACUCCCUCCGUCCUGUUUUAUGUGAAGAAGUUUGGAAUAAGAGGGUCAAAGCCCCAAAUUUUCAUUUGAAUCUGGCAUAAAAUUUUCUUUUCUUCUGAAAUAAAAUUUACAUAUUCUGAUAACUGCAUGGAAAGUACUACAAGUCUGUUGAGUUAAUAAUUUAAAAUAUUUGAAAAAGUUUUAUAAACUUGUAUUAGUAAAAGAAAACUAUUUGACUCCCCAAUAGUAAUAGUGUCAUUUAUCUAUUGCACAGGGAGCCCCCUCCCCCGCGUACCUCUUUUCUUUUUCUUUUCUCUUAAAAGGAACACCCCACGUUUUGUUACAGAAUGAAUGCUCAUUUACCUACAAAUUCUCUCCCAUCUAAUUCAAGGGACCACAUUUCUAAGUAUGAGAUAUUCCUAAAUUUUCAAGACUACUUUAGCAAAUAAGAAUUCUAUAGUACUUGCACAUAUUUCUAGCAAUCAAAAUUCAUUUAUCAAGUUAUUGAGCUACUUGUACUGAUAUACUAUACAAGUCAAAUUGACUUCUUAAUCUCCAUUUCUUCUUAAAUUACACUUAAUAUAAUUAGAUGAAAGGACUGGCAAUAUGGAAAUAGAAGAGAAUAAUAUAUGCAUUUGAACCAUAACUUCAUUCAUUAUAGGAUGUCUUACAUGGUUUGUAUUGGCUUUUCUGUCCAGGUAUAAGCUUGCACAACUUUCCUGAAGGGAUGGCUGUGUUCCUUGGAUCAAUGAAGGUAGUUCUCCUUUCUUGAUUGUCUGAUGUUUAUAAUCUUGUAUAGUGAUCACCUUAGUCAUUGUUGCUUGACCUAUGAUAUUUUGUUUCAUUCUAUUUUAAGAACCGUAAGGGUAACAAUGUUUCAAUUAAUAAAUGGCACCUCAAAUCCAAAAAUGGUUGGAGUCGGCUGUAUGUAUCAUCUAUAUCUAUACCAGGUACCCUAUGGGAUAGUCGAGAUGUUGGUAAGUUGGUCCGCUCACCCGUGGGGUCUGGGAAGGGAGAUGUACACAAACCUUACCCUACCUUUGUGGGGUAGAUAGGUUGUUUUUUGAUAGACCCUCAACUCAAAAGAGAAGUUAUUCAAAGCAGAGUUGCAAGACAAAUAUGACAACAAAAUAUCAAGAUACAAAGCAAAUGCAACAACAUAUAAUAGAAAACAUUGAAGAAUAAGAAACUAUGCAAUUAUUAAAUACUACUACUAAUAAGGUGAAGAGGAGAUGGGGCUAGCCCCUUGUGUCUCCCACCUAAAGUGUGACAAUACUCGGCUUCCUCCAAGUCUUCUACCCUAAUCCUUAACAUCCAUACCUUCAUAUCUAAGGUCAUGUCUUUAGUAAGCUGAAGUUGUGCCAUGUCUUGUGUAAUCACCUUCUCCAAUUCUUUUUCGACCUACCUCUACUCUCAUAACACCUCUUCUAACUCCCACUAUAACCAACCUCUAACAUCUCCUUACUGGCACAUCCACAUACCCUUUCUUCACAUGCCCAAACCAUCUCUAUUCACUUCCCUCAUCUUGUCUUCCACAGAGGUCAAGCCCACCUUGUACUGUCUAACUUCGUUUCUAAUCAUAUCUCUCUUAGUACGCCCACACAUCCAUCUGUGCAUCUUUAUCUCCACUACAUUCAUCUUUUGAAUGUGGGCGUUCUUGACUAACCAACACUUUGUCCCAUAUAACAAAGUUGAUUUGAUCACCGCCCUGUAGAACUUACCCUUGACAACACACUCUUAUCGUGUAGUACCUUGGAUGCAAACCUUAAUCUCGACCACCUCGCACCAAUACAAUGUGUGACAUCAUCAUCGAUCUCCUCAUCUCCUUGGAUCAUGGACCCCAAGAUGCUUGAAGCUUCCUCUCUUACGUAUGACUUGUGCAUUGAUCUUCACUUUCACCUUGUCCUCACACAUUACAUAUCUAAACUUGCACUCCAAUUACGGUGUUUUUGUCCGGCUUUACCUGAAACCUUUAGACUUUACGGUCUAUCUCCGAAGUUCCAACCUAUCAUUAAUUCCACCUCACAUCUCAUCAAUAAAUACUAUGUCAUCUGCGAACUCCACAACACCUCCCUUUGAAUAUGCUGUGUCAAUUUGUCCAUCAAUAAGGCAAAUAGGAACAGGCUGAGAGAUGGUUUUAGGUACAACCCAUCAUGACCGAAAAGUGUUUCGAGUCACCUCCCAUUGUUCUAGCCCAGGUCUUGAUUCCACCGUACAUGUCCUUAAUUGCUCUAAUUUAAGUCUGAGGUACACCUCUAGCCUUUAAACAUAUUUAUAGGAUCUCCAUAGGCACUUUAUCGUGCACCUUUUCUGGGUCGAUGAAUAUUAUGCCUAAGUUCCUCUUCAUGUCUCUAUACUGCUCUUAACAAUCUCCUUGUAAGAUGGAUGACUUUUGUAGUUCAUUGUCUCAACAUGAAGCCGAGUUGGUUUUAGAUAUAGAUACACCCUCCUCAUCCUCAUUUCGACCACCUUCUCCCGAACUUUCAUAGUAUUGCUUAGUAGCUUCAUACCCCUAUAGCUGUUGCAAUGUUGAAUAUCACCCUUUUUCUUAUAUGUAUUAUUGUACUUCACCUCCAUUCUUCUGGCAUUUUAGCUGUCCUAAAAAUGACAUCAAACAACCCAGUCAACCACUCCAUACCUGCUUCAUCUGUGGUCUUCCAAAAUUUCAUUGGUAUCUCGUCUAGCCUGGUUGCUCUUUCGCUCAUACGAAUAGGCCCCUUAACCUCCACAACCUUUAUGCACCUACAACACCCAAAAUUUCUACGACUCUCGGAAUGCUUUAACUCCCCCAACACGAUAUCCCUGUCCCUUUCUUCAUUCAAGAGCUUAUGCAAAUAUGUCUGCCAUCUCCGUCUAAUGUGUGCCUCUUAUACCAACAAUUCACCAUUUUUUUGUGGGGGUAAUACUUCGUCAUUCUCAUCCUUGAUAUACUUCAUAUGAUCCAGGUCACAAGCUUAUACAAUUUCCUACACCCUUCCUUCCCCUCGAGCUCUUUAUUCAAAUACUCAAAAGCUGUCCUUUUAGCAGCCAUGACCGCUUCCUUAUUCACCACCUUAUACCUCUUUCUAUUCUUCCUCUUAUCCUCCUUAUCUAAGCUUUCCACUAAAGCCGUGAAUCUAUUUAGGCCUAUGCCAUUCUCUACUGGUAAUUUGUCUUUUAAGGAAAAUUGGGUAUUCUCCAACAAUUGAAACUCUAAAUCUCAGACUUACACCUACUACAUAAACAUACAAGUUCUAAUCAGAAUAAAGCCCUUGUGGAAUUAAUGGAUUAAAUGUAAGUGUAAUAACAACAACUAGGCCUUAACUUGAACUAGUUGGUAUUGUCUAUAUAGAUUCUUUACUUCCAAUUGUUGUAUUCUUUGCUAAGUUCACAUUUGAAGGGGUUAUUGGUCUUUUAAGACUUCCUCAGUCCCUUUCAUCAAUGUGAUUUUGGCUUGCCUCGGUCCCUUUCAUCAAUGUGAUUUUGGCUUGCCUCGGUUCCUUUCAUCAAUGUGAUUUUUGGCUUGCCUCGGUCCCUUUCAUCACGUUUAGUCAUCAUUGUUGGUGAGUAUGGAGGUUACAUAGGGUAUGGUAUCGCAAGGCAUCUGAGGUGACCUUUUUUUUAUCCUCCAUCUUAACAUCAACAUUUCUAUGACACUCAGGUUUUUGAUAUAUAGGACUAAUAAUCACUCUCAUAUGACAUUGCUGGUCUUCAUUACUGUGUUAUAAGACCUGCCUUUUACUUGUUAGGUAACAGUGGUUGAAGAUUAAAAGAAAAUUAGCAAAUAAGCUUUAGAAAACAUAUGUUUAAGUAAUCUUAAAUAUCUUAAUCAAAUUAAGAGCAAGAACCAACUGUUGUGAUAACAGAAAACAUUCUUUAACAUAUUUUAUGGGGCCAUAGAUUAGGGAUAAUUUUGACAUUUACAUUACAUAUCACUUGUUUAGUCAUGGUUGCUCAACUUGCACAAUAUUGGUUUUAUUCAGUUUGGAGUAGUGUCAGGAUUAAAAUUUAGAUACAUACACUUAGAGCCUGUUUUGAUGGGCUUAUUAGUUUUUUCUUAUAAACAAAAAACCUAAUUUAGGAAUUCUAACUUAUGGCUUUUGGCUUAUUUUUGUCUUUUUGGCUUGAAAACAAGUGCUUAAAAGUAUUCCUUCUCAAAAAAACAAGUGCUUACAAAUACUUAUUAUUUUACCCAAACACUACAAAGUGCUUAAAUGCUAUUUUGGCUUAAAUGCACUUAAAAUAAGUAUCCAAACAGGCUCUAUGUAAUGUGAAAUAUUAAUAAAAUGCUUAACAUUGUACCAUUUUAUUGUGCAUAAAGUAGACAUUUCUUGGAUAUAAAUUGCACGGAACAACCUUCAUAGAAAAAGGAAAUACAUGAGGACAACGUGGUCUACAGACCCAAUAUUUGUGGUCAUAAUCUGCUUCGACAUCAUUCUUGUUACAUCGGAGAGGGAUGACUUCCCGGAUCAACUUCCAACUGUUCCUUUAUCAUUUCUGUGGUCAGUCUACUGUACCAAAUGCACUGAACUACAGGGCAGGGAAUUGCACAAUCCCAUACUUCUCUUGCGUAUCUACAUCGUAAAUUUUCAAAUAACCUUAGGUGCCAUUUGUUGUUCGGAAAGAAAAAUGGAAGUGCCAGAAUUAACUUUUGAGUUUGGCUUCAAGCAAGCUGAACUAGUGCUGCUACUGAUACAUGUUAGUUGUAGAAAGAGUAUGUUAAUAACUUUGUUUUGUUUGAUGAGAAGACAUUUUGAAGUCUUUUCUUGGAAAAGUCAAGAUCCUCAGUUGUAACAACUUCAUUAAGUCCAAAACAAUUUAAGGUCGGUCAUAUGAAUCUUCACUGACCAUGUGAUUCCAUAAGCUCAUCUCAUGCCAAUAUUAUGCAAAUACAUAUUCAAUGUAUUAGAAGUUUUCUAUAUUUUCUAAAAUGCAUAAAUCUCUGAAAGGCUAAACCACUCUUAGAAAGCAUAGUUUCUCGUCAAAGUGCUAGCAUCCCUAAAAUUACUCUUAACGAAUAUGUAUUGCCUAUGUAAAUCUUUCUUCUAUUGUGCUAUAUCUUUUGCUUAGCUUACAUGGACCUCAGAUAUUCUAGGUCCUUCGAGACAAUUUUUUUCCAUGUGAUUUUAGGUCUAACUCGUUCUCUUUUAAUACCUUCACUUACCAUGGUUUCACAACUUGUAUUUGGAGGUCAAUGCAGGACAUGCCAAAUCAUAUCAACCGACAUUCUUUCAUUGUAUCCUCGAUGUGUGCUACUUGAACCUUCUUGCGAAUGUGAUCAGUUUUAGUCCUGCCUAAUUUUGUAUGACCACACAUCUAUCUUAGCAUCGGCAUAUAUCCAAAAUUCAUCUUGUGGAUGUGUUAAACUUUAGUGGUCCAACAUUCAGUCACACAGCAUUUGCUGGUCUAAUAACUGUUCUAUAGAACUUACAUUUUCACUUUAAUAAACAUCCUUCUAUCACUUAACACCACCCUUGCAACACUUCUAUAUUUUUAACUAUCCGAUUUUGAUUCUAUGUGCAACAUCCUCAUUUAUCAUUUCAUUCUCCUGGAACAACAAGCCUAAAUAUCAAUUGUUUGCAUUUAGGUACUGCAAUCCCAUGUAGUUUCACCUCAAUUCACUCUUCUUAUGGUGACUAAACUUGCAGGCAACUGAUCUUCAGUUAUAAACUUGGAAUUAUUUAGAGCUUACUCUGUUUUCAUCAUGCUUUUAUUUUAGGGACUUCGGGUUGGUCUAAACUUGGCUCUUGCUAUUGCUUUACACAACAUACCAGAGGUAUACUUUCUUACAAAUUUACCAGUUUAUUUCCUGAUUUCUGUAUGUUUCUUGAGUGCAAGGAUACACUAAUGGACUCCUUAUUACAGCUGUAAUAUAAGAUAUCUUAUCCUAUCACAAUGUGUCUGUGUAUGUACUUGAUUGCUGUAGUAUUCUUGGUUUCAUUCAUUUUUGGCUCUAUGAACAUGUUAUUUGAAUUUUCGCUGCUGAGCAGAUUGUUGAUCAUGUAUGUAAAUAAUAAAUCAAUGUGCUUAUCAGUUCAAUUAAGAGCUACGUGUGGCCUAUAUUUAAAGAUAAAGCCUGUACAUUGUUUGGGCACUUUUCAUUCUUUCAUACAUUUCCAUAUUAUACCAAAUCCCUAGCUGAGUUGGGUUGAGAUCGUUGAUUGAUUGACGAUGCCAAGGAAGGCAUCUACUGUAAAAACAGUGGAUAGUCUUGCCAAAACAGGUAAAUUAACAAUCAACAUGUUUAUUGGGAUCAAACUAAAAGGAACUAAGGGAUGUGUCUUUUUUGUUCCUUUUCCAUUUGGGGACCUGAUUUAUUUGGUUGCAGGGUGUUGCAGUUGCACUUCCAGUUUAUUUUGCAACACAGAGGUAAUGAUUCGUAGUAAACUAACUUAGUAUUAAUUAAGGAUAACAUCUUUUGCUUGUGCCAAUCUGGGUUUAUUUUAUUAGGUUAAUUUUCUAAUUAUUUAAUAGACUCGAUGCACGUAAACAUCUUAUCUUCAAUUUAGUCAGGUCAUAUGAAUGUAGUUUCUCGACAAAGUCAUGUUAUCUGUACAUCUUAUGCUUGAGGCCUUAAGGCUAUUUGAGUCAUAAAGACUACGCUAUUUAAAUUAUAAAAUGCAUCCAGCGAUUUAAAUCGCAAGACUUACAUGCACAUAACUGAAGUUGCUGGAAGCUUUGGAAUAUAAGAAAUUAAAACGCAGAUAGUAAGAAAGAUCAAUGAAAUCAAAUCCUUUUCCUUCUUCCCUCCAACAAAAGGUAACAACAAGGUGCUCUCAUCACUUUGUAGAAAUAAAAUUCUUUCUUCUGCCCAGAACAAUUUAUCAUGGCUCUGUCAAUGGCAUUGCAAGGAUAAAGUUCUAGUGCAACGACUAAAGAACACUUCAAUCAUAAUUAGUUUCACCAAAGCUCAUCUUGUUGUAUGCACUAUCCCCAUUUUUUUCUUAGAUAGUUGAGAUUUAUAUAGUGAGUCUAUAUGUGUCUCAGCAAAUGGCAGGCAUUCAAAUUGGCAACACUUUCUGGUCUCGCAGAGCCCCUGGGUGUAAUUAUUGUGGGUGAGUACCUGAUAUUCAUGCCUUUUUCUUUUAGAAGGAUAAGAAUUACCUGAUAUCCAUGUCUUUUAGUUCAAGUAGAACACAAAGUGUACAUGAAGCAGAGAAUAGGUUCAGAAUUCAUUUUUUAAUUUAAACAUGAUUUGAUUGCAGCAUAUCUAUUUCCAAGCAGCUUGAAUCCUGAAAUUCUGGAGGGCCUCCUGGGAGCAGGUUGAUAUGAUAUUUAUUUACUUCUAGUUUCUUGACUGAUGAGAAAGGAGAAACAUUUACUUUUGAAUUAUGCUAUCCUCUAAUGGAUCAUGUUGCUUUCAGUGGGAGGGGUGAUGGCAUUUUUAACCUUACAUGAGAUGCUUCCAUUGGCAUUCGACUAUGCCGGUCAGAAGCGAGCUGUCAAAGCUGUAUUCCUUGGAAUGGCUUUCAUGUCUGCGAGGUGAGAUAACUUCUGUAAACUUCAACGUCACUCCUGGUAGUUACCAAACACAGCUAACUAUUGUACUUCGACUUGAAAGGUCCCGAGCUUCAAUGAGUUAACACUACAUGCACUCAGCGGCAACUUGAUUUAUUUUUUUGUUUCCAUGCUUUUGAUCUAGUGGAACCUCCUUUGCUUGAUCCAAUUUUUUUAACAUUACUAUAUAAAAUGGAAGUAUAUUAACUUUUAGAUGCCUAAUGGUUGAAGUAAAAUAUAACAGAGGAUUCUGUUAUUCAGUUAAUGCUAGUACUUAAGGAACUCAGCAAUACCAGCAUACUUAGCUGAUUGUUCUUUCAUUUACCAAUAUAAAUAAUUACCAAGCAAUCUGCUAUAAUUACAUGCUGUAAAGGAUUCUUUCUUUCUAAAUUUGUUUGUCUUGGGCAUGGCACCUACCUCAUCAAAGCUGCUUGCUGAAUAUCGAUUUUGUUAUCUUCUUAUACUUUCUCGUUUCUUUUUCUUUUUUACUUUUGCUGUAGUUUUACCUUCUCUCCUAUUGCAGCCUAUAUUUCCUAGAGCGGAGCUUGCCAGCGGACAUGAGCUUGUAGUUCUCAGUCAUAUGGUGUUUCACUACUUGUACUGCUGAACUUCGAUGGAGUUUUUUCGUGGUGCUAAGCUUCAAAACUAAAAUUCGCAUUCUUACAAAAUCCAUGAGGCAUGGCAUUUGGUUUGGCAAGCUGAAUGAGAGUGAAGGUAUAACAGUUUCUGAGAUUGUUUUAUAGUAAAAUAGGAAAUGCACAGAGACUCAGCCAGUAUCUCAUAUAUGAACAAGAGAUACAUGGGCAAAACAUUGUGUGGAUUAAUUUACGAAUGGUCAUCCAACUUUCAAUUCGUUGUAACAAUGUCACAAAACUAACCUUUGUAAUGAAAUAAAUAAACUCAAAAAGUAUUAACUGAAUGCUGGAAAACGUAAAUUCAGUUUGGAAACACAACUAGUCUGCCAUUUUAGCAGCUAACUUUAACUAUACUCAUGUGGCAACAAAAACAGCAUACGCGGUGAAAUCCCACUAAGUGGAGUAUAGGGAGGUAGAAGGACUGUUUUCCAAAUAUCUCAGCUUUAAGCGAAGCAAAUCAAAGUAGUAAUGCAGGGAAAAAAACAGCAGUGAAAGAAAAACAUGACAACUAAUAUAAAAUCAGUGCAUAUAUAUAUAUAUAUAUAUAUAUAUAUAUAUAUAUAUAUAUAUAUAUAUAUAUAUAUAUAUAUAUAUAUAUAUAUAUAUAUAUAUAUAUAUAUAUAUAUAUAUAUAUAUAUAUAUAUAUAUAUAUAUAUAUAUAUAUAUAUAUAUAUAUAUAUAUAUAUAUAUAUAUAUAUAUAUAUAUUGAUUUACUAUCAGUUAAGUGAAAUUAGUUUGGGGGGUAUAUAGUGUAAUUAUUUAGUGGGAUAUCAAUAUAAAGAGAUAUAUAUUUAUAAUUAUUUUGCUUUUAUGAGAUAUUAGUUUAGUACCCCGUAACUAAACCAUUACUGCCUUACGUAAUUACACCCUAUAAUAAUUAAUAACUACACCCUAUAAUAAUGAGUUUUCCAAAUUUUUCUCUUGUAAAAAUGUCAUUCGGCUAAUGAUGUUAAGCAAAAUGUACCGUGACUUGGUAAAGUAAAAUGAAAUUGAAUUAGUUGAAAUAAAAACAUCACUAUAUAAAUUCUCUAUUAUUAUAAUUUAUUAUAUGCGAGAAGUCCGACAGUUAAAACACCAUAAUAACCCUACAAAGUGAAGUGAUCAUGAUGAUUAGGGGUGUUCACGGUUUGGAUAAAAACCGAUCCAAACCGAAAAACCAAACCAAAUCGAUAAAAUAAAACCGAUUUUAUUUGGGUUUGAUUUGGUUUGGUUUUAGAUUUUUGAAAACCGAUAGUAUUUGGUUUGAUUAUGGUUUUAUUUGAAAAAAAUCGAAGAAAUAACCGAACCGAAUCGAUGAAUUAUUUACAUAUAUUUUAUUAAUAUACAUACUUAAUAUAUUGUUUUUAUAAACAAUUUUAAAGAUCUUAUACAUAUUUUCAUUAAAAUUUCUUUAUAAUUUACUUAUUGUCCCAAGAUGAAACAUUUAUCUUAUUAAUUUCAUGUAUAUGAGUGUCUAUGACAAUUCUUUGUGGGACUGAAAAUGUUAUUUUCUCUUCCUUCUAGACCAAUAUAGUGAAUUUUAAAGCUUUAUUGAUAGUAAAUUUAGUGAUCGAAAGUUUAGUAAUUUAAGUCAUUCUAACUAUUUUUCGUUUUGAAUGGAUUGUUGUCACUUUUUUCACAUUUUAAAUGAAUUGUUUCUUUUAUUUUUGUGUAUGGUUAAUAACCAAAUAACCGAACCAAACCAAAUCGAAACCGAUAAUCACCAAACCGAUAAAUGUAUAUUAUAUUUGGUUUGGUUUGGUUUUGAUAAUUUUAAAACCGAUUAAGUUGGUUUGGUUUUGGUUUUGACCAAUAACCGAUCCAAACCAACCCAUGAACACCCCUAAUGAUGAUACCUUUAACCUAAUAUUACUUAAUACAUUUUUGUACGGUGAUGUAAAUUUAUAUUCUAACAAAAAAGAAGUUUUAAUUAGGAAAAAAGACAAUGUAGCACUUUUCUGCCAUUAAAAAUUAACGGCAUAUUUAAUGUUAAUAUAGUUAAUUGUAAAUAAAUCUUUUAUUUACUACUCCCUCCAUUCCAUAUUAAGUUAAUUUUUGAGGUGUUUCACACCCUUUAAGAAAAGUAGAUUAAGACAUAAAUUGAACCUAGUUUUUAAUUUUUACCCUUAUUAAUUAUUGUCAAAUUUAUGAUUAAAAUAACUAAAUAUUAAUUAAUCACUAAUUCCCAUACUAACUAAUGAAGGGUAAAAUUGAAAGAACACUCUAAAAGUAGUCUUGAAAAAUGAACAAUUAAGUUAAUUUGAAAAAUGAAAAAUACCUCAAAAAUUAACUUAAUAUGGAAUGGAGGGAGUAGUAGUUUACAACGCAAGUCUUUUCAUCACUUAUUUUGAUAGUUAUUUUUUUAGUAGUUACUCAUUUAACUUCCAUCGAUAUAGUCUUUUGACAUUUUUUGCACAAAUUUAAAUCACUUCUUUAUUUACUGAUUAAAUUGAAUUUCUUCUUAAUUCCCUUUUAAAAAAAAUAUCACGGGUUGGUGUAGUUGCUCUUCAAGCAUGCGUUGCUGGUGAGGAAUGAUUCUUCUGCCUUUUGUUUUCAUAUCAUAUAUUUGAGUCUUCUUUUAAUUUUUCAUUUUGAAUUAUGUAUUAUCAAUAAUUUGAUAAUCUAGAAAUUAAGUAAGCUAAUAUGAUGAUUGAUGGUAUUAAAAAAAGGAAAAAAUAUUCAAAUAUACAUCUUAUUCUACCAUAAUCUCCAAAAUUCCCUACCAUUUAAAUUUUUUUCAAAAAUCCCCUCUCGGAUACAUCACUUCUCUCUCGCUGAUACAUCAUUAUCCCUCCCCUCUCGGAUACCUUCCUCUCCUAUGUAUCUGGAUCCUAUCUCCUCUAGUACAUUCCUCCCCUCUCAGAUAUAUCCCUCCCCUCUAGUCAGAUAUAUCUAAUACAUUCCUCCCAUCUUUGAUACAUCCCUUACCUAUGUAUCCGGAUGUCCAGUGAUGUAUCCGGAAAUCCAGUGGUGUAUCCGCAAUUUAUAAAUUUUAAGGAUUUUUGUAAUUUGAAAAAUAGUAGAGAAAUAAUGUAAUUAACUAUUAACAUUAUGAGAUUUAUGUAAAAGAUUGAAUAGGUUUAAAAGAAACUAGUUUCAACUAUUCGGCUUAAUGAAUCAGGUUCCUUAAGGAUAGCUAAACCAGUAAAAUAAAGAACACACAAUUUGCUGUGGGAAACCUCUUUACUAGUGAAAAACGUAACAUGAUGUACAAAACUUUCACUAACUUCAACAAGCGGUUUCAGAUUUUACAACUUUAUAAUUUAAAAGACUAAUUAUAGUACCUUGCUAGGCAAAUAACUCUAACUAUUCCAACAACUCAUCAAGAGGAUACACUCUCUUUUUGUUACCAACGUCACAACUUUUACAAUAGAAGAAAUUAUUACAGCUAUAUAAUAAUCCUCUUACAAACUUGAUGACAAUAAUCCUAAACACUAGUUCUAGGUUGUUGCAAGCCUUCUCAUAUACUCUCCCUCCCACUCAAGUAUACUCAAACAAGUGCUAAAAAGAAAUUAAAGUUCAAGUAAGUGAUGAUCAGUGUGUGUAUAGGAUGUAUUAGUCUGUAAGUUUGAGUUCCAAAGGGCCUAGCUAGCAAAUGUCUUUAUUAGCCAAUUGCUUUGGGACUUGAUAUAAGCUCCUGUCCAAUUGGACAUGUCACACAGCAGGUACACUGACUUGGUGUGACUCUACAUGCCCGUUUAUUCGUGCUUGUAAGUUGUAUCCUUGGGACGAUUGUUGCAUAGAUACAAAGAUUGUCACUAAAUAAUGUGUUAGGAAAAACAUGAAUAAAUGAUUACUCCCUCCGUUCAUUUUUAUUUAUUCAGUUUGAACUUUGCACGUUUUUUUAAGAAUUAAUAGUUAUGUCACGAUUCAAAUUUUUUUAUUAGGUUGUGAGAACACCCACUAUCCUUACAGACGAAUCUCAUUUCUUUAUUAACUGUUUAAUAAUAUAAAUAAUGUGCAACUAAUAUAAAAUAACCACUUACUUUUAUAACUAAAUAAAUUGCGUAAAAAUAAAAGUGCGGAAAUAAAGAAUUUAAAUUCAAAACAACCCCAAUACCCGGUGACACCAGUACAAGAGUUUAGGAAUACAAAGCAAGUCAAAAAGGAUCAAAAUAAUAGUCUAGAAGAAAAUAACUAAAAAUAUAUAAGGUCUCAAAUAUCCAGUGCUAUCGAAGAGAAAAUAGCCCACUCUAGACUCAAAUAGCAAAAUCUCAAAAAUAUAUAGCAACUCAAGUACCACUUGUAUACGUAUCUGGUUCAGUUCAUGCACACAAAAAAGUACAACAAGUAUAGAGUUAGUAUGUAAAACAAGUGUACUCAACAAGUUUUGAUUGCAGAUCCUUUCUAAAAGUGAUAACACAAUAUAUAUAUUCUAAGAAUUUUUUUCCCACUAGUAUAAUUAUGUUACAACAUAAAUCACCACAACAUAACAAAUAAAACAGGUGGAUUUCCAAAAUCAGUUACACCACAUAUAAUAUCACAAUUUUUCUAAGAUGAAUCAAAUCAAUAACACAAUCAUAUCAAUACUUGAACACAACUCAAUAUGAAAUGUAAUAACGAAGAAAUAAAAUGGAAUGCACCGGCCAACAGUUUGUACACACCCGCUUUCUAUGUCGGAUAGUCAAGAUCAAUGGGGGACUAUGAGGUCCAUAUACUCGUCGGAAUUAUUUUUUAAUGGCUUUACAUGAUGUCACUUUUCGAAACUAUUUCUCAUCGAUAUUAAUAUGAAUUUCACAAAUAACAUAAUGAAAAAUUUCAAUCAAUCAUUAUUAUGCAAUAAUAAGAGUGGUAUGAAUAUGCAUGAACAAUAUAUAACAUGAAUUCGUCAUUCAACCCUACAAUAAAAAAUCAUCUAGUCACAAGUUGAAGAAAUCCACAAGUUUCAACAAUUGAAUCAUAUCGCAUGUCAUGAGAUACUAUCAAUUGAUAAUAAUUUCAUUUUAUAUUAUUCAUAGCAUGGUAUUGGUAUCUCGAUCCAUAAUGCUCGUUAUUGUAUUUAUACAAGAGCCUCUUAUUAUCCAUUACCCUUAAAUUCAUUUAAUACACAAAACUAACACCUCAAGGAAUUAAGAAAUUUCUAUUUGCCUCAACUGAAGGUCAAACGUAAAAUUACGAACUUGCCCUUUCGUAAUGCUUUCAAACGUCAAAAUUUGUUAAAUAUAGAAUUUUCAUUAAGAAUACGAAUCUAAUGAUACUCAUAUUUCUAUUAACAAUUAAAUCAAAAAAUUAACCCAAACCUCUACAGUUGAAUUUGAAAAUUUUCUUCAGAUUACAUUUACCUAUAAUGAAAUGAACUUAUAUGUCAAAUUUCAGCUAAAACAAAUUGUUAAUUACUCGACCCUCAAAAUCAUAAAUUCUUACUCUAAAAAUCUUAUUCUUGUUUCCGAAUAAUUCUUUCAUAUUUCUACCAAAAACUUUAACUUAUUAUCACGCAAUAAUCUCAAAGAAAAUUUUAGAAUAAUUACUUUGAUGUUUUGAGUUGAAAAUUUCCUAUUUUUCUCUUUUUUUUCCCUCUAUUUUUCUCCCCUUCUUCUCCUUUCUCCUAAAUUUGUUUUCUUUCUUUUUGUUGCGUCUCUAUUUUUGCGCCUUUGAGGUUUAUUGUUGCUUAUGUAAUCAAACUUUAAUCUUUUCAUUUGUUGAAAAACCCUUAAUUCUUCUUCUUUUUUGUUUUGUUUAAGGAUACAAUGAUCCCUCAUAAAUAUAUGAUUUAUUAAAUUCUCUAUCACUUAAAAUUAUAUUCGUUCUCAAACAUGUUCAAAUUUUUUUUUGAAGCGUUGAAAUACGAACAAUAACUAUGUACUCUCAAAAUGAACUAUCUUCUCUGAAACUCGUUUGAUCACUUUGAAAAUCAUGUUAUCCAUUUAUGUAAGUCAUAAAUCACUUAUAAAAGCAAUAUGAAGGAAUAAAAAAAAAGAAUGUAAAAUUCAUAAAAUGACUAAAAGGAUCGUUACAUCAUCAAUCCUAAAAUACAGAUUCGUCUUUGAACAAAAAGAAAAGUACCUGAAAUGCCGAACGAUAUCAGUUUUGCAGGUUAUAUUCAACCUCUCAAGUGUAUUCCUCUGUCGGACGAUAACUCUAGUGUACCUUCACAAAUGUUAUGUCCUUGAAUCUCCGUUUUCUAACUUGCCAGAAUAACUAUAGGCUUCUCCUCAAAUGUUAGAUUUGGAUCUAACUGUACCGAAUUCCAUUGAAUCACAUAAGAACCAUCACAGUGAUAUUUCUUCAACAAUGAAACAUGAAAUAUCUGUUAAGUCUAGUGGCACAACCAGCUCAUAUUUCCACAAAUUCGUACCCCAAGGCCUGACAUCAUAGGCUUGAACCAACCCGUCAAAGAACAACAUACAUGCAUUAAAUAAGACCAUCUGAAUAUUGAAAUGGUAAUAUGCAAACUCCGCUGAUAAAAAGAAUUGAUCUCAGUGACAACCAAAAUCAAUCAUAUAUGCCAUAACAUAUUCUCAAACACUUUAACCAUUCACUUGAACUUACCAUCUAUAUCAUGUGGAUGAAAAGUUGUGCUAAAUUUUAUUCAAGUACCCAACUCAAUCUAUAUUGACUUUCAGAAAUUGAACAUGAACUUAGUAUCUUGAUUCAAAAUUAUAGAAAUGGGCACAUCAUGCAAUCGUACUAUAUAUCUCAAGAAUAUAAAUCCUAAUCAACUUCUCCGCAUUGUAUGAAGUCUGAACCAACACAAAAUGAGUUGAUUUGAUCAAUUAAUUCACGGUGAUCCAAAUAAUAUCAAAUUUCCUCAAAAUCUGUGAAAUCCUACUAUGAAAUUCUUAACAAUCUUCUUCCACUUUCACUCAGGUACCCACAUCAUAUGAGUUAUACCGCAUGAUCUUUGGUGUCCGUAAUUUACCUACUGAAAAUUCAAACAUCAAAGGCAUACUCUAUGAUGUCUAUCUUCAUUCGAUACCACUAGUAAUGUUGAUUCAGAUCAUGAUACAUUUUCGUUGCUCCAGAUCCAUAAAUGCCUCCUUAGUUUCACCUUUUAACAUUAUCACAACCCGAGACUGUUAUGAAUAUAUUAUAUAUAUAUAUAUGCGGAAUUUAUGCUGUAUGAAGCACACAUUUUUUUAAUAUUCUUUUAGCAUCUUUGUAUGCAAAAUACUCAUAUAUUCUAAGCAUUCUCAUUUCAUGUAUUGCUACUAUCAGCUUUGUAGAUCUUAAGCUUGUACUUAAAUAUGCUUUUUCCAUUUCAGGAAUUGCUUUAUCAAUAUGAUGCAAUGCUAUGUGGUGUUUCCACGCUCUUUUCCUUACAUUAUGUACGUGGUAUUGAAUGUGUUUCAACAUAUUUAUAUUUUUAUGCUACAACAAGCAUGACAUUAGUUGAGUAAAUAUUGAUUGUAUACAUACAUGUUAUAUGCUUGAUUAUUAAAACACUAUGUACGUGGUAUUGAAUAUUUUCCAACAUAUUUAUAUUUUUAUGCUACAACAAGCAUGACAUUAGUUGAGUAAAUAUUGAUAAGCAUAUUAUGGUGUAAAAUGGUUCAAUACAUUACUUAACAAAGUUUUUGUAUACAACAAUUGUAUUAUGAAAAGAAAUUGAUACUAACCAUAUUGAAUACAUCAACUCUAACUAAAUGUCUAUGAAUCUUCUACUAAUAAUGAGUAUAUGUGGUUAGACAUGAUCCCCCUUCUUCCCUUAAUCAAUAUAUAUGAAGAUAAAUAAGACACUGAAACCAUGGAUUGACUUGAGCCCUCGAAAUAAGAGAACUCGUUACUUGCUGACCGGAAGCUAUUAUCUAGUUGACUAGGAUCCUGAUAGUAAAAAUCUAAAUGUACAUCACAUGAAAAAUGUAGGUAAAAUAGGUAUGCAAUCAAUACUUUGAAUGUGAUGAGUAUGUUAGAUACAAAUGAUAAUCUGUAAUGCUGGACAUGAUGAAUUUGAGAAGCUAAACUGAAUAUUGAAUUGACAUACAUAAACUGAUGCAAUGACCAUGUAGUAAAACAUGCAACUGAAAUAAAAACAACUGAACAUAAGGUCAUGCAACAUUUGAGACUGAAUUGUGGGAGGUACUAAUAAUCGACAUAUAAUCAUGUGAGCUAAACAUGGAGUUUGAUAUAUAUUCCCCAUAAAAAAGGGUCCAAUAUACCCUGUCAGGGUAUAAAGGUUGAUCUAAUUUAAUGUUAUGCCACUAAACUAAUGUCCAUAAAGAACUAAGGAGUUAGUCCUGGUUUGACGAGUGACUCUUAAAUAUCUUCAAUAACACGUAGUUUUGGGACUUAGAGAUUCUACUAAAUAUCUGAGUCCUAACUGACAUAUAAGCCUCAUCCCUAGGUCUGCUCGGUGCUAAGUAAAACUCUCAACGAAAACAUGCUGAUAAGCUAAAAACAGUAAUAAACUGGAUUAUACUAAAUGAUGUUGAUGUACUGAUAAAUCUGAGUAGCUCAUGAAUACUAAUAGAUACUUUACCUGAAAGCAUAUUUAAUCAUAAAAAUUGGUAGUCUGAGGCAGGCAUAUGAAAUUAUAUAGUUUUGAGACAUGAAAUAUCUAUGUUCUAAGGGUUCAUAAAAAUACUAUUUAUAAAUACUGAAUUAUAGUUUGUAAACACAUAAUUAAACUAUUCAUGAAGAGGAAUGAAAAGUAUCGUAGGAAUCAUGUUUUUCAUAACACCCUAAUUGUCGUAGAAAUCAUGAACAGGAAAAUAGGCUUACAUUGGGACUCAAUGGGUGAAAGGAUACCCAUUGAUAAAAUCCCACAUACCUGGAAUGAAAAACCUUGAUAGAAUCGCUGAACUUAAAGUUUGAAGGUGAAAAUCAUAGCUUUAAUCUUACUAACUAAAACGGUUGAUGUAGGGGGUGAGGAAGAACUAAGUUCCUCGCUAUGAUGACCUUAUAUACCUUAAACUCUCCAUAAAUCUUGAAAAAUAACCUUAAUUUGACGAAGAUUGAUCAAGAGACCCUUUACUGAAAUUCUUGGAUUCGUUUUUGAAAAUCAUAUGUUUUGAUGAUUAAGGGUAGGCAUGGUAUGGUAUGAUAUGAUAUUUGAAAGUUUUGAUACCGUAAUUUUGGUAUUCGGAUUUUAAAACAUUAUACCAUUACCAUACCAAUUUAAUUCGGUAUAUCGAAGUUUAGUUUCGUUAUUUUACAGUAUGAUAAAUCGGUAACCAUAAUUUGUUCAACUUUAACUAAUAUAUACUCGUAUAAUAGAGUAUUAUGACUUUGUCAAUUAAAAAAAGGUCUCAAUUGUAUCAUACUAACAUAUUACACAUGUAGAAAUAUAUAUGCAAAAUAUAGUACAAACAACUUCUUUUGUUAAUCAAUUACAAUUCAAAUACAUUUCAAUCAAAGUGGAGUAGUCAAAGUUUUAACUUCUGAACAUUUAGUUUAUACUAAUACUAGGUUGCAUAUUUGUUAGUAUUUUAAUAAUAUAUAUGUUAGUAUGUAACUAUAUACUUCGGUAUGGUAUUCAGUAUUUCGGUAUGUUAUAUCUAAAUACCAAAUACCGUAUCGAAUGCCAAAGAAAUUAAAAUGUAUACCAUAUACCACAUCAAAUACCAUAAUAUCAAAACCAUAGUAUUAAAAAUUUCGGCACGGUAUGAUAUUUCGGUAUAUACAUACCAUGCCCACCUCUAUUGAUGAUAUAUUCUAGCUUACGACACAUAAUCAUAUGUUAGAAACACUAGAGAAUGAUGAUAGUAUGCUUACCUUGAUUCGUAAAGAAGAAAUCUUGAUUAACUUGCUUCAAAAGCAAGUCUUGAACCCUAGAAUUGAGUUUUUUUAUUUUAGUAGAGACGAAAAGAGAAAUUGAUGUUAAAAUUUUGUAGAAAUUCUAGGAUAUACAUUGUAAAAUGUGAAAAUUUCUAAUAUGACAUAUAUUAUACUAAUAUUUUCGAGUUAUAGCAGUAGAUUUAGACUUUCAAGUUAUAACAUUAAAAAUUUCAGGUUGUAACAAAUUAUUAAAAAAAAAAGUUAUUUUUAAUAAUUAAAAACAUUUGAUUUGAAAAGAAUAAAAAGAUUAAAAAAAAAAACGUUUCUGAAGGAAAAAAUGAAAAAAACGGAAAUAGGGAUGGCAAUUAAAUUUGAAUUAAUUUAAGAUAAUUAUUAAUUAGCAUGAAUUAAGGAAUUUCAAACUAAUUAAGAAUAUUCAGUUUCCUUAAUUCACUCAAUUUGUUAAAAUUAAUUUAAAAAUCUGAUUUUAUCCAUUUUUCUUUCACGUUUCUCUCUCUUCGAUUUUCUUCCAGAAAUUGUCAUUGGCGACAAAUUGAAUUUUUUUUUUGGUUUGAAAAAACCNNNNNNNNNNNNNNNNNNNNNNNNNNNNNNNNNNNNNNNNNNNNNNNNNNNNNNNNNNNNNNNNNNNNNNNNNNNNNNNNNNNNNNNNNNNNNNNNNNNNNNNNNNNNNNNNNNNNNNNNNNNNNNNNNNNNNNNNNNNNNNNNNNNNNNNNNNNNNNNNNNNNNNNNNNNNNNNNNNNNNNNNNNNNNNNNNNNNNNNNNNNNNNNNNNNNNNNNNNNNNNNNNNNNNNNNNNNNNNNNNNNNNNNNNNNNNNNNNNNNGUGGUAGAUGGGAUCCUUCAGGUUGAAUAAAUGUUGGUAUGAAUAAUUGGAUGUCAACUAUAUACAGUUUGGAUACCAAUUAUAUGGUGUUCAUUUUGAUCUCCAAUUAAAUAGUAAAACGAAACUGUUUAUGUAUCCAAUUGUUAUGUAGUUUGUAUAUAACUGUUAUCCAAAACAUUGUAUCCAAUUGAUAUGCAGUCUGUAUAUAACUAGUAUCCAGAAAUUAUGAGAGUCAAUCUGUAAUGCAUAUGUAAGUUGAUAACUGAACUUGAAGAAAACAGUGCAUAUUCUAUAUCAUUCAAUACUUAAAACUGUAUCAAAAACAAAUAUAUAUCGUUCAAAAGUUAAAAAGACAUGAAAUACUAAAGAGUCUAAGCUGCAAUCAACUAUCUCAAAUUUGAUCUCCGUAGUCUUGGUGUAGGAUAAUUGUUGGUAUCUGGAGCAUAUUCUUUUGCUAUGCGGGAUCCAUCAAAUUUGCUAGUAACAGUCCCAGUUACUUCACUCACUGAUCGCGCCACCAUCAUUCUUUGUUUUUUCCGCAUUGCCAUCAACCUAGUUGGAGAAAUUGAAAAAGAAACCUUCUUAUUAUAAAAAAAUACCAAUUUCAUACCAACAUUAGACAUAAUUUAAAAAAAAAUAAAAAUGGAUGACUUAACAAACUACAAUCAAUUCACAUAAUUGGACCAUUGAUAUCACACAAUUUUCUGAUAAAAUAAUACACAACUUAAGUCAGCUUUCAUACCAACAAUAAAUCAAUUUCAUACCAAUGUUAAAACACAUUUCAUACCAUAUUCAAAAAUCGUAUAUUAAUUAAGUUAGCUUUCAUACCAAUAUCAUUCAUGUUUCAUGCCAGAUUAGUAGACAUAAUGAGAAUAAUUUGAAAAAAAUAGCUUUCCUCUAAACUGUGCACCAACUUCAUACCAGAUUUAAACAAGUUUCACACCAAAUAUAAGUAAUACAUCAUACAAUUUUUAUACCAAUUCAUGCCAACAUUAGACAAAAUUCAUACCAUAUUCAUAAAUCGUAUAUUAAGUCAGCUUUCAUACCAAUAUUAUUCAUGUUUCAUGCCAGUUUAGUAGACAGAAUGAGAAUAAUUUGAAAAAAAAAUAGAUUUCCUCUAAACUGUGUACCAACUUCAUACCAGAUUUAAACAAGUUUCACACCAAAUAUAAGUAAUACAUCAUACCAUUUUUAUACCAAAUUUUAUACCAAUUCAUGCCAACAUUAGACAAAAUUCAUACCAUAUUCAUAAAUCGUAUAUUAAGUCAGCUUUCAUACCAAUAUUAUUCAUGUUUCAUGCCAGUUUAGUAGACAGAAUGAGAAUAAUUUGAAAAAAAAAUAGAUUUCCUCUAAACUGUGUACCAACUUCAUACCAGAUUUAAACAAGUUUCACACCAAAUAUAAGUAAUACAUCAUACCAUUUUUUCAAAACACCCUCUGAUUCACCUCCAUGAAAAAUGGUAAAAUAAACUUUCUUGCAAUACAAUUAUCNNNNNNNNNNNNNNNNNNNNNNNNNNNNNNNNNNNNNNNNNNNNNNNNNNNNNNNNNNNNNNNGAUGAAAGAUGAAUUUCUGUUUUUUUAAACAUGGAAUUGACGUGGGGUGAGGGAUUUAGAUGGGGUGGGGUGUGACUUGUAACAGUAAAAAAGGAACUAUAAUCAAUGUAAAUCCCUAUAAUUGUGUAAGAGAUAAUUAUGGGGUAUUCUUUAUUUAAAUAAUUUAAUAAUAAUAUAAAAUUAUAAAAAAUAACUUAUUUAAUAAAGUAAAAUUUAAUUAAUUUAUAAAUAAUUAGUGAUAUGUUAUAACCCGUAAUUAAACUGUUAUAAGCAAGAAUUUUUUAAAAGUAAAUUUAAAACCUGUAAUAUUGACUCUUAAAUGUGUAUAUGGGGUGAUUUUUACUUGUAAAAUCAUGGAGAAUACUUAUCAAGACUUAGUAAGGUUGAAGAGAACGUUUGAAGUCGACCAAGGGGUAAAAAGUGUAAAAAGAAGCUCAAAAUAGUAUUCUAAUGAAAUAUGAAUAUUUUGAUAUACAACUGAUAUACCUUAUAUAUAGGUAAUAUACAUGAUCUACAAAUCCUUUUACGACUCAUAAAAUGAUCCACAAAUCGUGGAUUGGAUCCUCAGAAUUUAGGUGCAAAUUUUGAGCGUCUAAUUCCAUUUUACCACUUCGAACUACAGCCUGUAAAUGCUUUUACGAUCCGUAAUUUCUGGAACAUAAUUUCAGACGGGGACAUAUUUAGUAAAAUAGUUAUAACUUUUAUUUCUGAACUUCAAUUAAUGCAAACUUGGUGACGUUAGAAAGAGGAUUCAUAGAAUUUAAUUUGGUGGGUCAUGGGUCACCUAAGUCUUCAUAAUCUAAGAGAUAUGAUCGUUUGAAGUUGACGUCUAUAUGACUUUAUGGGAAUAUUUAGCGAGCAGAAAAGACUUUAAACUUGGCUUAGUGCUAGAGAUCCCUAAUAACCUUAAAUCAAUUCCGAUCCAAUAGACUUCAUAUUCUUGAGAAGAAACCUUAACACACAUGAACAAGUAGGAAUUACCGGUAAAGAUCCUGUACACAUAAAAAGUACGGUUCAAAUUUUAGUUGAUAUUUUUUGGAGUGUUACAAACAUUUUGUCUUAAAUUAUAUUCAACUUCUCAUCUUCAAACAAUCUAGCCUAAUAUGAUCCAAUAAAAGAGAUUGUACCUCAACACGAAUAAAAACUCUAUCAGGCUCUGAAAUCUCGAGUCACACAAAGCUUUUUAGCCAAGGAUCGAACACUCAUGGCUAAAGGGCGCUCCACCAACAAUAUAGUCAAACUACCCAUACUAACUGACUUCUGACUCAAAGUAUUUGCAACCAUAUUCAUCUUGUUAAUGAUAUAAGAUAAUUAUGUCAUAAUCUUUAAGCAACUCCAAUCAUCUUUUUCUCAAAUUUAGAUUUCUUUGAUUGAAAAUGUAUUGUAGAUUGAUCCUUGAACACGUUACAAUGCACUCCAGGAUAUGUCCUUGGGUUUUUGAAACACUGUAAAAAAGAAGUGUUUCAAAACAUUGCUAUUUGACUUGGACAUGUUCUAAAAAAAUUUGAGGUAUUUCAAAUAAUUUGUUGACACGGACAAAAAAAUAUAAUUUUUUUUAGUAAUUUUAUAAAUAUAUAUUUUUUAUAAUAGCUAAAUGAGUUCUAAUCAUAAAAUGUCAGUAUACAAUAUAACAACACAUCACUAUUCACACAAACACUAUCACUAUAAAUAAGUUUGACCGUAUAUAUAUCUAGUACUUGACUCACAUUUAUGAUAAAACUAAUUUCGCAAACAACUUACACUUUUAAUUUUUCUUGUUAUCCUUUUUACAAAAAAAUCUUCAUUUUUAUACCUAAAAAAUCUUUAUUCUUAGACAUAAAAAAUCUAAAAUAUCAGAUUAUAUAUAUUUUCUUAUAAAUAAACAAAAUAUCUUGAUCUCUCAACCUUCACGGGUGAAUUUUGGGUCUAAAAUAAAUGAGGACAACACCACCUAAGCGUUGACAAUCAUUAACUAUAUUUAUGGAUAGUAAAUGAAUAAUCCUAAUAUAGAAUUGAGUGACUCAUUUUUCCUUAAAUGAAAAAUGUCAAGUCUCAUUCUUUCUAUUCUUGGAAAGAAAUAUAGGACCCAACACUGAGAGGAUAUAUAGUAUGAUCAGAUAUCAGAAUAAUCAUUUCAUAUUUCCCAUCUGUAAAAAAAAAAGAGUACAAAAACCCUACCUAACAUUAUUUAGUUCUGUGCAACUUUAAAGGUACCAAAAUGACCUGUGGGCAUUCAAUGACAUUUUUUAAUAAUUCUAUUUGUCGGCUGAGUGAGACAAUGUCACAAAAGAAAAAUGAGAAAAUAAAAUUAAUAAUCAAGCAACGACAAGUACUUUUUUAUUUUUAUUUUUAUUAAGGUACCGAGUAAUUAAUUUUGUGAAAAAAUAAGUACUCAGGAUGUGUGGCCUAACUAUCAAUAAAAUUGGUGGAAACUCAAACAAUUAUGUAAUUGUUAGUUUUUUUUUCCUAGAACAAUUAAGAAAAAAAAGAGCUCCUUAAUUUGAAUUUAAGUUAUAUUAUAUGUUAUUCCUUCUGUUCUUGUUUAGUUAUCAAAAUUGUUUUUUUAGAGUCAAAUAAUAAAAAAUUAGACUAACAUUUUAUGAUGUAUUUUUCAUCAUAUUGAUAUGCAAAAAAUUACAAUUUAUCGUAUAGUUUUUGAAUAUCUAAAUUUUUAGUUUAAAAUAUCGAAUUAAUAUAAACUAAUUUAACUUUGAAAAUUAGUCAAAUUAACUUUCGAAAAAUGCAACAUGACAACUAAAAAUGAACGGACGGAGUAAAAACUAAAAGUAAUAAGUUGGAAAUAUUUAGCUUUGGCUUUUUACAUAGCUUAUUUUUUAGACUUUUUUGACCUAAAUGUAAGUAUUUAAAAACACUUUUUAUCCUUUUUAAAUACCACGAAAAAAAUAAAGUAAAAACUAAAAGCACUUAAACCAAGUUAAUUCAUACCCCCCUCUAAAGUUUUUAUAAACAAAAGUGUUAUGUAAUUAGCUUUUACUUUUACUUUUAUAUAAACAAAAAAAAGUGUUACAGAUAGAUUACUUCAGUUGUGAAAAGCUUAUUAACUAGGUUGCCAUUCAAUUGCAUUCUCUAGUUCUUUGCUUCUUGUGUUACCUAGUCCUUUGUCAUGAUGGACUUCUUUCAUUUUCAAAACGUUUAGGGGUGAGGGGUGGUUUGGUGAGAUGUAUAAAAAUAAUAUGGUAUAUUAGUAAUAUUGAUAUUAGUUAUGUUGUGAUUAUUUUUUAUGCAAUGUAUAAUUUGAUGCAUUAAAAAUAACACGUAUUGCAUAAUUUAAAGAUAUAUAUUUUCUUAUAAAAAAUAUCAUCCACAAGUACGAUGGAAAUGAUGUAGAAAAUAACCAUGCUAGUGCAGAAAUGUAUCUGAGAUUUUGAGAGGAUGAGUGCAUUAUUACGAAAAGGUGGAUCUAAAAUAUAAACUUGAUCGAUUUAGCCUUUAGGUUCUUAACACUAAAUCGGUUAAACUUUUAAGUUUUAACAUUAUAGGUCAAACAUUAAUUUUUACCUAUCUUAAUAGUAAUUUAUAUCAUCUAGUACUAUUAAUUUUAAAUUUUAAUAUACACAUUUGGUUUCAUUAUAUAAAAAUUUUAUUGUACGCUAAUUUUUUUAAAAAGAAUUUUUGAUAGGACAGACUUGAAAAUUUCAAAAGACUAAGUAAAAAAUCAAAAGAAAAAUUAAUUGAAACGUCAAAAGAGCUACCAGUAACUACUUAGAGAGCAUGUAUUACUUUAGAAAGAAAAAAGAAUUGAAACAAGACAAGAUUUAAAUUUCUAAUCUUACUUAGAGAGGUACACCCAAUUAAAUUGCAUUAUAUGAUACUUUGAAUGUAGGUUCACACAUCUAUAUUUAAGUAUUGUUUUUAAGAAUAUAAUACUACUAUAUAUGAUUUAGGGAGGGGAGUACGAAUUCACGUGAAUCCACGAAACCCCCCUAAAUACGCUCAUGUGAUAAUGCAUGCAUUAAAGACUCUUGCAUUGUUAAUACUAUGGUUUGUCAUGUAUUAGUUAUGCAUAACAUAAUACUCCCUCCGUCCCAUUUUAUUUGGCACCAUUUCCUUUUUGGUCAGUCCCAAAAAGAAUGUCACAUUUCCUUAUAUGGUAAGUAUUUAAAGGUACAAUUCCUCUUUUACCCUUAUUGGUCCCACUUAAUCUUAAAAUAAUACUUCAAUAUAUUUAUGACGAGAGAAAAAAGUGAGUCUACUUUUUAAAGGGCAAUUUGGUAAACAUUUCAAAGUCUUCAUUUAUUUCUUAAACUCCGUGUCUGGUCAAAUGUUGCCACAUAAAAUGGGACGGAGGGAGUAACAAAUAGAGUGUGUAACUAACUUACUCCAGUUAUAGGUAGAAAAAGUGUAGCAAACAAGGUAUUACUAAAAAACAAAGAUAACACAUACAAUAUUUUUUCAAAUGCAUCCUACCAAACAACGCCUUAAUACAUUGAAGGACGCGUCUCACCUACCUUUUACAGUGCUACCCGAAGUGGCAGAGCAGUUGCGACAACAAUAGACGAUACAACAUCACAAUACGUACGCGAGAUCUAAUUUAUUUCGAAAUUUAUUAUGUAACUUUAGGAAACUAUAAAUACAUUUUUUUAGAAUUUUAUUAGGACGUUCUGUAAUUUAGUUUUCUGGUUGUGUUCUUAAGCGCUAUUGUGAGAGAAGAGAUCAUAUACCUAUGCAUUACAAUUAUUUUUUAGUUAAAGAUUAUCUUUUGAUUCUUGAUUUAUCGUCUUGAUCAUUGUAAGAAUGUCUUCUUACACUUUUAAUUUAGCUUUUUCACUUUCUAUGGGUAAUUAACCCCAUAUCUAAGAUUGUAACUAUCCAAACUGUUGUUACUCGAAGGCAUCUUGAGCGGAAUCUCAAAAUUCCAAAAAUACGGUGUCAAAUAAAAUUUAUGCAUAAUAAAAUUGGUUUAAUUUAAAUUGACCAAGAUGACGUUAGCCCACCGUAAUGGAAAGUCUCCCGCUAUAGCAGGCUGGCAAGAAUUAGACCCUAGUAAAUACAAGGUAUUUUAUUUUUUCUCUCACUUUUUGUGGAGAAAAUAGACGAGGGCUUCUCCAAAAACCCUUUGAAGGCAUCCAUAGCAUGGGAGAAAUGAAGGGAGGAGAUUUCAGUGCAAAUGAGAUGAAAACCUAAGGAAUUCUGAUCCUCAUUCGGCACGAUUUUCUCUCACGGAGUUGAAAGCUCAAAGUCAAGAUUACUGAAAGCUCAAAGUCAAGAUUAAGUAUCAAUUGUUUGGCAUCCAAGUAGGCUAUAUUUUUUUUAAUUGAGUAGUUAGACAUGUCUUUACUUGCAUUGUAUAUUGAGAAUUGCCAGAGAUUUCAUGUAUAAGCCUUCGGAUACAUAGUUUGAACAACUAAAUAUGUGGAUAGUUAUGGUUCAACUAAUGAUGAUUUUUAGAUUAUUAUGGUUGUCUUAUGAUGUUGUUGGGUGAUACCCUUAGGAAGGGAAAUUAUGGGUGAUUGGAGUAUGAUAAGGAAUUAUUCAUUGGUAGAUGAUGAUGGUGUGUUUUCAAAGUUAUGUAUGUAUGCAUAUUUACUGCUUUAUAGUAUUACUAGUGGAAUGCAUGAUGGAAACACAUAUGUGAGGAAUAUGAAAUGACAUCAUGUUGACAAUCUCAUGUGAUCAACGUAUUGUUUGAAUUAUGGUUUCAAGUGUGAUUUUUCAUUGUGAUUGUGAUUGUGCAUGAUUUUGUGUUUGUUGGUUGGCUUGGAUACCUUGCUGGUACAUGAAAACUAACGGUUGGCUCGAAUACCACGCCUGGUAUGAGUAGUAAUAUUGAUUGACUCAGAUACCACACUGAUACACUAAUAGUUUGUGUGUGGAUUUCAUGAGAAAUCUGCAUAUUUGCAUUUUAUGAUCAUGUGGAACAUGUUUCAUGCAUUGGUUAAGGUAAUGAUGGUGAUUUGUAGUGCAUACAUUGUGACUAUAUAUGGGGCAGAAGGGGGAGACUUGUGUUAGUGUUAUGUAAGUUAAUUAUUUACAUUCAUUUUAAUGGUGCAUAUCAACUCAGGAUAUGAACUGGGAGUCCAGACUAUGUUAUAUAUGUUAUUUAAAUUGUACGUGGUCUGUUUGCUAAGUUGAGAUUAAUAGGUUAGGUUGAUGUCCAUGAGGGGUCUUGUGUAUUGUUUAAAGGUUGGGACUAGUUAUGGUUGGCUAGUGUUUAGAACAUAUUUGAUAAGGGGAAUGUAAGUCAAGGUGGUAUAGUAAGAAUCUUGCAAGUGAUCUACUAAAAUGGGUCAAGGGCCAGGGUGUUGGCAUGAUAAUUUUAGGAAGAAUAGUAGGUUAGGUAAUAAGGUUAGUAGCGGUAUUGUAUUCAAGAAAUCUCUACGAGAUAGAAGGAUUAGGUUAGGAUAUGAUAUGAUGUUGGAAUGACCUAGAUGGUGUAGUUGGCAGCGAAAGGAGGUGGAGUGACUCGAGAUACAACUUAUGAGUUUCAAGGUAAUUUUACUUAUAGUGAGGGUGGUGAAUGGGUGGAUCACUGUCCUAAUUUUAUAUUAAAUUUACACAUUUCUUUGAUUGUCUACAUGAUAUUAUGUGGUAGGUUCGGACAUAGAUAACUGAAAUGGGUGAUUUGAAUAUAACUCCUGACCCAAACCUUUGGAAUACGAACAAAAUUAUUGUACUUACCCACAUUCUUGGACUUCUUAGCCUGUUGAACUCCCUCUACCUUCUUCAAAAAUUCAGUCACCUCAUUGAAACUCUUACUUGUAGAAGGUCAUAUGCACAGAAAAAACCAGUAAUUCAGAAUUCAAACAUUUGACGAACAAUAAGACCCUCUCUUCUUUCGUGCUCACCAACUGCUUAGCAUAUCGAGAUAGGGCAUGAAACUUAACCUCAUAAUCCGCCACAAUCAUGUUACCCUGCUCAAGAGACAUAAACUCAUCCUCUUUUCUAUCUCUCAAGGUACGAGGCAUAUACUUUUUCAAGAACGGGGCAUGAAAUUGUGCACAAGUCAAUAAAGGCAAGACCAACGAACGACAUUCCACAAAAUAUCUUCACUAUUGCUUUGCCUCACCCUAAAGCUAGAGAGUCACUAACUCAACCCUGUGUAAUUAUGCAAUUCUCAUUUUAUGAAGCCUCUCAUAGCAAUUCAAGAUGAACUCGAACUCAUCCUCUUUCUCGGAAUUACGAAACACUAGAGGCUUAAGCUUCAAGAAACCGCUCAACAUCUCAUGUUCAAUAUCAGUCAUCAUAGGGUCAAGCAAUGGAUGGAACAAAGCAUUAGCACCCAAGUCCCCAUCUACUUUAGGAAUAGUAGAAGCGAUAGUCCAAGUGACCAAAAUCUGAGUAGUCUGAAUCAUGGGAAUGGAUCUAGUACUUGUCAAUCCACUAAAAAAAGUUAGUACAUGUUGAACAGUCUCCGCGUUCAUAAAGGGAAGACCUGUAAUCCUAGUCAGUGUCCUAACCUCUUAUUCAACAUCAUCCUCACUCUCAAUCUCAAUCUCAUCCUCUAUAAGAUCCUGGGUGGGGUGGAGUCACUUUUCUUGGUACAUUUUCAGUCCGAGCUCCACCUCUAGUGGAUAUUGCCCUUUCUCUACCCCUGCACUUGCCCUAAUCUCUUUCUCUGCCUCUGCCACAUCCUCUAGCUACAUGCUCAACUUACUUUGUUAUUGGAACUACUAACCUUGCACCGUUACAUCAAGUAUGAACCAUCUGCAGAAAGAAGAUUGGAAUAGCUAGAUACCAAUUUGGAUCAUCAGAUACCAAUUGGAAUGAAGACAUAGUACGAAGAAAGAUAAUUUUUGAAAGUAUUGUAGCCUCUUGCAAAAAAAGUAUAGACAUCUCUAUACUAUUCCCUAGGACUAUACUAGACUCAUUUUGGUACUACAAGAUCAACGAACCUAGGGUUCUGAUAUCAAUUUUUUUUCACAAUCUUGAUCAUAGUGAGUGACACCCACUCUAAAUUGACUAUUGGGAGAAUCAAAGACUAACCCGAAACUAACCCAACAUCAUUAGUAAAACCAUGUUCAUCAUUAAAAAAAUAAGAAAAAUAAUAUAGAUAACCAAAGAAUUGAGUCCCCAUAAACUUAACCCAAUAGUCCAAAACAUUUAAUGUGGAAAUAACCCUUAAGAGUUGAAAGUCACCAUACCAAAAUUCUAAUAAUCAAUACUGGGAUGCAAUCCCGAAACUAAACAUAAAACUAAAGUUUAAUGUAUAUGCCCGAAAGGAUGAACAUAAAGAUGAAGAACCCAUGUUAGCCUGAAAAAUGUAGCUCAUCGUUGGAUUCAGAGUCAGAUGUCUCUUAACUAAGGUCUUGGAUCAGUCGAUGGAAGAUGUCAUGUACUGUACAAGUAAAAGAACAUGUGCAGUAUCAGUACACAAACCACAAUGUACUAAUAAUAUCACACAGUCAAUCCAAGAUAUGAAUAUUAACAGUUCACUACAAUACUAUAAUACAGAACAAUACAUAUAACAACAAUCACUACAAAAGGAACCCCAAUUACCAACAAAAAUAUUCGUUGGUAAAUUGAUCAAAUUGGUUGACAAAUUGAGUUACCAAUCAAAUGUCAACUUAUAUUAAUUUGUUGCUAAAAGGCUCGUCGGUAAAUAUUACCAACCGAUUUUAAUUUGUUGGUAAACUUACCAACCAAAAACAAGUUGGUAAACACCCAAAGAUGUUGUUACAAAAUUUUGAAACAUGGCCUUGAAAUUUCCGUUGGUAAAUUCACAAACUAAUUUUUGGUUAGUAUAUUGUUAGUACCUUUACUAACGAAUUGAAAAGGAGUUAGUAAAUUUUUUCUUCAUUAUUCGAUUCCGUUGGUAAUUAUAGUAACAAAUGUCUGAUAGUAAACUUUUCCAGAUACAUUGAGACCUCUUGGUUAAGGAUGAAUGAGUAUUUACCACUCCACCACAACCCUUGUUGGUAAUAAAUCAUUCAAGGCAACUCCGCAAGGGGAAUCGAACCUGAAACCUCUUGGUUAAGGAUGAUGGAGUACUUACCACUCCACCACAAUCCUUGUUGGUAAUAAAUUUUAAAUAUGUUAGUAUGAAUAUUUGCUUUUCUAAUAAAUUUACUAAUUGAUUGUUAGUUUGCUGGUAAUAUAUCAUUCAAGUUCAAUGUUAGGUUAGUAAUUGAUUGACAAUAUGUUCAAAAUAUUAUUAACUGAAUGAUUAUCCAAUAGUAAAAUAUUUAUUAAUUUAUUGCAUUUAAAAUCUAAGAGCACGAAUAUAAAUCCAAAAUACUAAUAUCAAUUUUAUAAAUCAUAUUUGAAUGAAACAAUGCAAAAUCUAUAAUAACAAGUUAAAUUAAUCUCAAUAUGACACAUAUCAUUAUAUCAAAAUUUUAAUUUGAGCACGUUUACCAAAAUAUUGACCAAAUCUAAAUUUUGGCCAAAAUUUAAAAGUUAAAACGCCUAACAGCACAAACUGAAAAUGGAAGCCUCAAAACCUGAACCAACCAUCCUAUUAGAUAUAAAAAUAACCUUCUGAAGCUAAUCAUGCUGACAAAAUUCUCAUCAAAGCACGUUUACAAAAAAUGUUAAGCAAAGUCAAAUUUUGGCCAAAAGUUAAAACUUAAAACGCCUAACGGUACAAAUUGAAUAUGAAAACCUCAAAAUCCAAACCAACAAUCCUAUAAGACGAAAAAUGAUCUUCCAGAGCUAACCGCGCUGACGAAAUUCAAAUUUGAGCAUGUUUCCCAAAAAAAUUGACCUGAUUCAAAUUUUAGCCAAAAGUUAAAACGCCUAACGACACAAACUGAAAAUAAAAGUUUCAAAACCCAAACCAACCAUCCUAUGAGAUCAAAACUGAACUUAUAUGACUAACCGCGGUGACAAAAUUUCAAUUCGAGCACGAUUACAAAAACUAUUGACUAAAGUGAAAUUUUGGCCAAAACUUAAAAGUUAAAAUGCCUAACAACACAAACUAAAAAUGGAAGCCUCAAAACCCAAACCUUCUAUCUUAUUACAUAAAAAAUGACCUUCCGCAUCUAACUGUACUGACGAAAUUCUCAUUUGAGCACGUUUAUCAAAUAUAUUGACCGAAGUUAAAUUUUGGCCAAAACUUAAAAGUUAAAAUGCCUAACAACACAAACUAAAAAUGAAAGCCUCAAAACCCAAACCAAUCAUCCUAAUAGAUAAAAAAUGACCUUUGGAGUUAAUUACACUGAUGAAAUUCUCAUCUAAGUACGUUCACAAAAAUAUUGACCAAAGUCAAAUUUUGGCCAAAACAUAAGAUUUAAAACACCUAACGGCACAAACAAAAAACGGAAGCCUCAAAACCCGAACUGUCUAUCUUAUUACAUCAAAAAUGACCUUCCGCAUCUAACUUCACUGACGAAAUUCUCAUCUGAGCACGUUUAUCAAAUAUAUUGACCGAAGUUAAAUUUUGGCCAAAAUUUAUAAGUUAAAACACCUAAAGGCACAUACUAAAAAUGAAAGCCUCAAAACCCAAACCAAUCAUCCUAAUAGAUAAAAAAUGACCUUUGGAGUUAAUUACAAUGGAUUAAUGAUCGGUUGGUAUAUUACCAACUAUUUUAAUGAUGUUAGUAAUUUACUAACUACAAUCUUUAUUCGUCGGCAAAAUUUUCAACUAAUUGGAUAUUGGUUGGCAAGUUUACCAACAAAUUACAUUUCGUUACUAAUUUACCAACACAUUUAUAUUUGAUUGGUAAAUUUAGCAUCACAAUCUUGCCGUUGGUAAAUGUUUGGUUAGUAAUUCAUUGGUAAUAUGUUAAUAAAUUAUAUAAACAAUUUUUUGUCAUAUUUACCAAUCAAUAUAUACUUCGUUGGUAAUAUUACGAACAAAAGGUGUGCGUUAGUAAUAUUUCAGUUGGUAAUCCAUUGAUAGAAUGUUGCUAAAUUUGGCGUCAUUUUUUCCCGCCGUAUUUACCAACUAAAAUACUUAGUUAAUAAGAUUUUGGUUGGUAAUCUGUUAGAAUUUCGUUGUUAAGUUUUAAAUUAUAAUUCAAUUAGAAAUAUGUUGGUAAUUUGUUAGUAGAAUACUAACCAACUUAAGUUGUUAGUAAAAUCUGUUGGCAAUUUGGAAUUUUUUUGUAGUGAAUUAUCAAACCACAUAGACUCUUAGUCAUAUAUCAUGAAAAAACAAUACCUUGAUGCAUGUCCCACAUGAUCACAAAUACAAAUGUCCGGUUCUCUUAUGGAACCACAAUCACAUACCUUGUCCUUUCACGGAAUCCAAACCCAAAUUGUUAGGGGUCAUUUAGUAGAGUGUAUUAGGAAAAAUAAUACAUACAUUAACUUUGUGUAUUACUAAUACCUUGUUUGGUACUCUUUUCCAACCUAUGUAUAACUAAUGCAAGCAUAAGUUAUAUACUCUAUUAUGUAUUAAGGUGUGUAUUACUAAUACCAUGUAUUUUUAGGUAUUAGUAAUGUAAUAGUUUUAAUGUGUGUAUUACUAAUACCCUUUAAAACCCUUUUUACAUCUUUUCCACCGUAAUUUUGUAGGGUAUCUUUGUAAAUAAAAUUUUUUUAUGCACCAAACCAAACAAUGCAUAAAAAUAAUUUAACUUUAACUAAUGCAAGCAUUACUAAUACAAGAAUUAUUAAUGCAAGCAUUACUAAUACAAACAUUAUUAAUGAAAGCAUUACUAAAUAUUAUAUUUAGCAUUAUUUUUAUACAAUAUACCAAACAACCCCUUAGUGUACUGACAUGGUACCCGAGUCAUCCAUAGUUAGUGUAUCGACGUGGUAUCCGAGUCAUCCGUAGUUAGUAUACCGGUGUGGUACCCGAGCCAACCAACAAUCACAAAUAAUUAUGCACAAUCACAACAAACAAUACCACUUGAAAACCACAAGCCACAAUAACAAGUCCAUUGCAUGAGAUUAUCGACAUGAUGUCAUUUCAUAUGUUUCCAUAUGUAUUCACUACCAUGCAUUGGAUUAAUGAUACCUCAAACCAGUAGAAUUACAUACAUGCAUAAACCGAAAAUAUACAACCAUUACCUACCUCAAAUCACGCCUCUUGAAAGCUCUAAAGAACCUGAUUUUUUCCUUUUUGAAGUGUCUUGACUUGUUUUCGGUUUAAAUAAUUAAGUAAAAAUAAUAAUCAAUCACUAAUGGACUAGGGAGUCAAAUUUUAUGUCAAAUAAUUAAAUAAAAUCAUGUCAAAACCUUCCUCCAAGAGCAAAUAUCUAGACUCUAAGGCUUAAGAAUCAAUGCAUAAGGUCGAGGAGUCUAAAUUUUACCUUUACCGAUGAAUUCCAUGAAAAAAUAAGUGGAAGCUACAUAAAAUUUCCCCUCGAAACUCCAAGUAUAAAGAGUGCAAAAAAUAGGAGUUUAGUUUCUGCAUAAAAUCAUGUUUCACCCCGCUAUAGUGGCCCAGUCCGCUAUAGUAGAACUUACCAUGUUAUAGCGGUCUGCACGUCGCUAUAGUGGGAUCAACAGAACUUCAUAGACUCGAACUUUUGAAAAGGACAUUUUUUUCACAGCACAACCCAUUCCCUAGAUGUCCCGACAUAUCUUAUCAUGUAACACCCCGAAAAUUUUUAAGCUAAGACUCGAACCAUUCUUCAUUUGUGAAUAAGAUUUUAUCAAGAAAUUUUAUUUUUUCUUAUGUGUUAAGGUCACUAGAUGUAGCACCUCGAGUUUCAAAAAGAACUGAAGAGAAAUGAGUUCAAGUCACCCAUCAAUUUUAUUAAGUUUAGGGUCAACUUCAAUCAACCAUAUCUUUUAGCACAUAAAGAAUUGUUUGGCUCAUAACCUAUCAAAUCUAAGGUCUUCGAGUACUCUUUCCAACGCCAUCAAUUUUGCCUCAAUCAAAGCUCUGGGUAAAAAGUUAUGACUGAUUUACUAAAGGCGCACGAGCCUGGCAGCAGGUCUGCGAUGGCUCCACGUUACGGAUCCAAUACGGACCUCACUACCCGGUGGAAAAUUAUUCCGACUUCCAGCUCAUUUUGUUUAUUUUCUUAAGGGUAUUUUAGUUCUAUAAACCCUUAGGAAGUCAUCUAAAUUAUCCUAAACGUGUAGAAAAAUCAGUUUUCAUAAUCAAACCCUCUCAUACACUCUAAAAUUUCUACGCUCAAGAAGCUUCAAGAAACGCUAAGGCUAGGGUUCAUCUUUCAAGAUUCUCCUUCAAGUUUCUUCAAGAACAUUGUUCUUCCAGGUAUGUAAGCUUUCAUAGUAUUGGGUUUGUUCUCCCACACACCAAUUAUAUAAUACUUCCAUGAAUUCAUUCUUGAAAUCGUUUGUAUUGAGGUUCUUGAUGAAGUUUUUGAGUUUUGGGUCUUGCGAAUGAGUGUUGUUGUUGAUAGAAUUUGAGUAAAUUUCAAUAAAAGUUCAUUGGGUUCGUGUUUUCUGAUAGAAAUUGAGUGAGAUUUCAAUGAUAUAGCGUUUGGGUUAUAAUUAAAGUGAGUUUGGAAGAGGAAGAGGAAAACGGCAAAAUAUAGGUGCCAGGCCCACGUCGCGGUGGCGCUUGAAAUUUCCAGCUUCAGUUGAAUACCCAUCUCUCCGCGUCGCGGAGAGGAUACAAAGUCUUCUGUGUCGAAUUUUAUUUCGCGAUCAAAAAUUAAAUUCCUCUCUGCAUCGUGCCAGUGUUUCUUCAAUUCGUGUCAUCGCUCUCUUCUUAUUACUAACUAUAUAAGCUAUCAUUAAUCAUUGAGAGAUCAUAUAUCCUAAUCGUAUCUCUUAAAUUCACAUUUUAAAUUAAAGUAAAGUAAAGAUGAAAGUCCAAGAGGUCCCUUUGAGUCAAAUUGAGAAUUUUUUGUAAUCAAAUAUAGUUUUGAGUUAAAUCUUGAAGAAGUAAGAAUGAGAAUGAAAAGAGUUGCAUUUAUGAGAGUCUAUAUUGUAAUUGAUAUCUUUGAGUCGAGUCAUUCAUGCCUAUAAUUUCGCAUGAACUCCAUAAAUUGAGUAUCCUUCAGAGGAUUAAUAUCGUUGAGUUAUGAGUUUCGAGUUCUUAAGUCUUGAGUUUUGAAUACCGAGUUCCAUAGUGCUAUUAAGAUCCCUGAGUUGAGUCAUUUAUGCCCAAACUUCCAUAUGAACCCUAUGAGUUGAGUUAUGAAUUUUGAGAAGCAUUUUUAAAGCCAACAUUUGAGUUCUUAAACUGAGUUUUGAGAAAGUAAAGAUGAGUUUUGAGGAAAGAGUUUUCUAAAACAUGAUUAGUAUGAUAAUCGAGCAUGCCAUCAAUGUAUUAUCAAUAUAGUAUCUUGAUAUACCAUCAAUGUUUAUGCAGUAUGACUUCCCGAGUCAUCAAUGAUCAUAUUAUAAUAUGAUUUUGAUAUAUUUUUUAGAAAGGAUUUUCAAGUAUGAGUUGAGUAAGAGUAUAAGGGGACUAUGUAUUCCCAGAGUUAUCAAUUUUUACAUUUAUAAAAGAGAAACUGAGAUUUCUAAAUGAGUUAUGAGUUUAAAAGAUAUUUCAAGAGGCGCAGUUACCUCUUUUAAGAGGGAAGUUUUAGCAAUUAUCUCAAACCAGAUGAAGAGUUAUGUUUUUAAAUAUAUGAGCAUGAUCUAUUAUUGGGAGUAGUAUUGAGCAUCAAUAUGGGAAUGAGUUCAGACAACUCAAAGUCCUCAUAAACCAUGUAUGCCAACAUGGGUAAAUGGUCAUACUUUUUAGAUGAUUCCUUAUUGCUUUUUAAGCAUAGCUUAGUGGAUUCACUUAGUUGAGAAUGGCCUCUACUCCGGCAAGGUAUAUGACAGUUCUGGCAGCGUGAGCGAGACGAUGUAUCAUCACGUAGCUCAUAGUGAUGGUUGUCGCUUAGAAAAUCUCCCAAAUAAGAAGAGUUAUUAUUGUAUUUUCAUAUACAUUUGAUUUAUUAUCUACUGUUUUAAGAGUUUCAUGCAUAUAGCAUCUUUUAUUGUUGCUUUCCUAUUGAGUUGAGUAUUCUUGAGUCAUAUUGAGUUGAGACGGGGUGAGUAUGUCUUCCUUUUUAUCAGUUCGAGCUUAUACUUAUGUUGCGAAUUUUCCCUUACAUGCUCGUACAUUUCAUGUACUGACGCCAUUUGGCCUGCAUCGUUUCAUGAUGCAAAUACAUGUAUUCAGGAUCAUCAACAGGCGUUUCGUUGAGGUCAUGUGAUAUUCCAGUCAACUUUGGUGAGCCUUCUUAUAUUCCGGAGGACUUCACCUUUACCUUACAGUUAGUAGUUUGGAGAUAUCGUGGGAUUUGUCUCGAUAUCCUUCUGUAAUAGUAGAGGCUUCAUAGAUAGACAAAGUUGAGGUGUUGUUCUGUAUUUACUGUCUUUGAGUAUUGUUCAGACUUUUUAAAGUUGAGUAUUUGAGUUUAAUGAAUUUAAUUCAGUUUUAAGCUUAUUUAUGCUUGAGUUAGUCUUCUGCUUGUAGUCAGCCAGGAUGAGGGUUCGCUUGGGGACCAGCAAUGGUUCUCGAGUGUCGGCCAUGUCCAGGGUGUAGACUCUAAUCGUGACAUAUCCACACCUAGAUCAAUUUCAAGAGUUCUAAAUAUGGUUGUGGAUUUUUAAGGAAGCAUCAUUUCAAUUUUAAAUAGUUCAGGAGGGUAUAGGACCCCCGUAAAAUAUAAUUGUGUAGUUGGAAAUUCGAAAAUCAAUUGAGGGCUCAUUUGAUCAUUUUCUCAUUUAUAAUUUAUAAAAUUAAUACAUAGCAAUAAUUUCAAAAGUUCAGUGAAGUCUAUCUCAAUUUCUAUGGUGGUAGAUGUUUUGUUUCUGAAUCAGUAUUAGACCAUGAUGUAAUGCUUAUAUUUCAGCGAGAAUAUGGUUCAGGACGUAAUGAUAACUACUUCAAAAAUCAUUUAUUUAUGACCCUAAUUAAUUCAAAUCUACCAUUUUUCGAUCGGUUAUCUGAUCUGAAAAUGCAUGCACGUCGUAAAUAGAAUUUUGUAAAAUAUGAGAAGAUUAUAUUACAAAAAUAGCUAAUUAAUUAUACCAUUGUUACUACUUAUUUAUUUAUUUAUUUGGUUUCAUUGAUAGAUUUUAAUAACUAAUCGUAAUUGGACGAAUUGUAAUAGCUAGUAAUUGUGUUAUCAAUAGUUUUUUAAAUAAAAAUAUAGACGUAUAAUUUUAGUGACCUCAAAUUCAUUAAUGUCAUUUUCAUAAUGGGUUUAUUUAAAUUCCCUGAGGGCUUCAUGACUUCAUCCCAUGAACGAUGUAAUCAAAAUUAACUUUAAAUUUUCAAGACACACAUUAAAUUAGUAAAUAUUUCAUGGUCCCGAUUAUAUUAAUUUAGAGAGGUUUUACUGUAUGACUUAUUUUAAUCACAUGUUUCAAAAAGAAUUCUAAUUAAAUUAUGUGUCAAGUCAAAUAAUAUCACAAAAAUUAGAACGAAAGGAGUAUGAAAUUUGAAAAAAAAAAAAAAUUUAAAAUAAAAAAUGAUAUUUGAAAAUAUAAGUGAUUUUAGAGUGAAUAAAGAUAAAUUUUAUAGCCACACAUAAUUUUUGAAAUUCAAUAUUUUCUAAAGUUGAAUUUCAAAAAUUAUGUAUGGCAAUAAAAUUCAUCUUGGACCUCUUUUAGUUUGCUUUAUUUUAUGUUUUUUUUUUUUUUUUUUUUUGGACCGGGCACUAUUGAACCUGUUGAGCAAAACUUUGAGUCUUUUUCCUUAGUAUAAAUUACAUAAAUUUUAAUAAUUUGGGCGUUAAUUACAUUAUAUCCUAAAAGUUCCUCAAAUUAUAAUAAUUUUGGAUUCUUCAAAACUCACGCAUUCAUUGCUCCUUCACCCGAUACAUAGCAAAUGAUACAUAAGUUAUGUAUCGCUUACAUAACAAUAAUCAGAUUCAUACUGAUUUAUGCUUGAAAUAAUUAGGGUUAUGUAUCAACAAUAACAUUUGUACCAGAUACAUUGUACGCAAACAAAGCUGUAAUGUAUACGAUAGAGAUGGGGUGAUGUACCUGGACGUUAAGAGAGAAGAAAAAUGAUUUUUUAUAAUUAAUUAAAAUAAUAAUUUUUUUUAAAAAAAUAAUCUUUAAGUCGAGCAAUUACGGAAUUUUGCCCUUUUCAAUAUUAAUAAGAGAAGAGUUUGAAAAUAUGUUAGGUGGAUGAAUACCUUAACAUGACAUGUGAUACUUAACCCUAGAUUUACCCGGACUCUAUAUGAUCCAAAGAGUCGGUAAAAAGUAGAAACUUUUUGCAGAAAAUAAAUUGAUGAAAACUAAAAGCAAUCGUUCCAAAAUAAAUAAAUAAAACAGAAAGAGCCAAGAAAAAAUGUGGUGCUGUGAGCUGUGACAGGUCAAUGCAUAUGAUUCAUUAAUGUAGUUACUGUACUUCACUUGUCUUUUUACCAUAUUUCAUUGCUUCUUUUGAAAAAUCAAAAUCAAAAUCAAAGUACCAUGAAAUAUUUAUUACCACAUACAUUGUUAUGAGAAAAAUAAAUAUAAUGAAGACACGAAAUUGAAGAGUAUAUUUGAAAGUAACAAGUGAAGGUUAUAUUUUAUGUAUUUAAAUCUACGAAAUUUAAAUUUUGAAUCUGUCUUUUUUUUUUAGUAGCGAACGCAAUAACUUUUGAUACACACAGUGACUUUUUUCAAUGAGCUUUCACAUUUUUUCUAUAUCGGUGAUUCAAAUACGAGGUGAAAAUUGCUUACCAUUUUAGCAAUCUUCUCUUGUCGUCUUCUAGUGAUUCAUACUCGAAAUUUCUAGUUUGCCAUUAAAAUUUCAAUUUUUUUAGAGUUGGAUUAUGAAUAAUAUGUUUGAUCUAAAAUUUUGAAUUUUCACUCCACCUUACUUAAAAGAAAUUAAAAAUAAUUCCAAGUUUUGAACAUCAAUAUAAUAUGCCAAGCACGUAGAUUUUAUUUAUUUUUGUGAUAUGGAUAACAGUGAGAUUCGAUCCUAAGACCUCUGUUUGUUUUAAUAUCAUGUUGAAGUAUGUGACUAUUUCAUCUUAAAAGUUUAAGAUAUUAAGGAAAACAUAUUUUUAUUAGUUAAUUAUAUUCUCAACAAACGAUAAAACAUGAUCAAACGUCCACGUCAACGUCCCGUCUAUCUACAGUAUAUAGUAAGUCCAAAAUAGAUGUACAGUAGAUAUAACCUGAUAAUCCCCUCUUGUGACAUGAUGUUUCGUGAAAACUGCCUUUGACCCAUCUGGCUGCUCAUCAUCAUCAUUAUACAUAAAGAUAAAAGAUAUGCUAAUGUUUCAAACAGUACUCACAGUCACAUCUUUCUACAACUCUACUGCCACUCUGAUAUAUAUUUUUUUCGUUUUAAUUUAUUUGAUAUAAUUUAAUUUGAUAUGAAAAUAAGAAGAAAAAAAAUAUACUUUUGAAAUGUGUGAUAUAAAAUAAGUACUAGUAUAUUUUAUUUUAUGUGACACUCUUUAUUUUUAGUUUGUCAAAAAAAAAUGUUAUCUUACUAUAAUUAAAUAUAAUUUAAUUUUGAAUUUUCUUUUUUGUACUUAGUGAAAUAGUUUAUCAUCACAUAAAUAUUUAAGUAUUAUUUUAGACCACAUUUUUUUAAAUAUAUCGUAAUAAAUCAAACGAUAUCACGUAAAUUAUAUUAACUUAGAGUCUUAGACCGACAAAGUAAAGUAUCACAAAUACGUUGGAUUUUUACAAUUGGGGAGAAUUGGAGUAGCGUCUUAUAUCCAGAAGUGCAUAUUAUAUUUUUUGCAUAUUUAUAACAACACAAUAGAUAAAUAAAUUAAUAAAUAAAAAGAAAAAAUUAUUAUGCAAACUUAUUAAAUAAUUGAUUGGACAUGCAAUUUUAUCUAGUAAUUUAAAAUUAUGAGAUGAAAUUUAUGUUUGGAUAUGUGAUUUUAUUUCCUAAUUUCAAAUCAUAAGAUGAAAUUUCAAAUUUUCUUCAAAAUGUUUUGAUUUGGAAAUAUCACAUCAUGAUUUCACAUUUUUCCGAAUAUAAAAGUUGAUCCACAAAUUAAUAUAUCGUAAAAAACACACUAUUUUAUAUUAUUUUUUUAUUUAUGAAAAUACAAAAUGAGUGAUGAAAUAUCCAUGAAAUAUGAACAUAAUGAUAUAUUUAUUACUAAUCAUACUGAACAACAAAGGAUGCAAAUUAAAGAGUAAUACAUUAUAACUCAUGUUCAAUUUUAUUUUUUUACUGAGCUAAAAUCCAACUAAUAAAUGUUGUAUUUUUUUUAGAAUAAUUUUGUGAUAGUGAAUUAUAAUACUUUUAUUAUGAUGCUUCUUUGGUAAGACUGUAUAUAGAGAAUUGAGGUGAUUUUAAUGUUUAUGAACAAAACAUACAACUUAAAAAUUUAAAUAACAUGUCCAAACAAAACUUUAAUUUUAUUUUAUAUAAUUUAUAUCUUGCUUUUAAAAUUAUAAUUUUAUCUCACAUGAUCAAACGGUUCCAUAUAUAUCACAUUUUACCUAUUGUGUUGACUUAAUAUUAUUCCUUGUUUUUUGGCCGAAAGAUAUGCUUCUAUACAUCACAAAAAGUUCUUUGGACUUGAUAAUGUCAAUUCAAUUAAAUAGUUCCCCUAACAAUACAUACAUCUAGCACUUUUCUUCAAUAGGAAAUUGAACCAAUUAAAGAUGAUAAUUUGAUGGAAAAUGCUACUUGUAUUUAUGGUCUUAAAGACAAGACAGGAAAUACUGCUCCUCCCAUCACAUCCUCAGAUGUUGAAGGUUUUGCAGGCUAGAACUUUAUUUCCCUCAAAUUUUUACUCCCUUCUUCUCAAUUCAUGUAACAUCUAUAUUUAAAUUUCAAUAUUUAAAUAAGUCUAUUUUUAAUUGUAAAUUUUUUAUAUUCCCUCCAUCUCAUUUUAUGUGUGGUAGUUUCACUUGACACGGAAUUUAAGAAAAAAAAAGACUUUUAAAACUUGUGGUCUAUAAUGAAUGAUAAAAAUUUAUGUCUUAUAAAUUAUUUCAUUAAAGGUAAAAUAGACACUUUAAACUUAAUUUGUUACUUAAUAUAUAAAUGUGUCAUUCUUUUUAGGCAGAUUAAAAAGGAAAUUAACUCAUAUAAAUUAGAACAGAGAAAAUAUAUCUUUUAAAUGAUUUGAAUUAUCAAUUUUUAUGACUUAUAAUAUUUUUUUCUUUUUACUUAAUUUACAAAUAUUUACAUGUUGCUUUCAAAAGCACGUGCAAAUAUAAAUAAUCGUAUAAGUAAUAAAGUGAUAAGAGUAUUGAGUAUCGUCCCACAUAAAGUAAUGUUAAUUAUCUAAAAAAAAAAGGAAUAAAAUUGAUCAAAGAUAUAAUUAUUAACUAAAACAAAAAGAAGAGAACUUUAAUCAAACAAAGAGUGAAUUUUUAUGUUAUCAAUGAGAAUAUGAGAUGAAUGCUUCAGGAUUGUUGUUGGUUCAUCAAUUUUAUUGUGUGUUCCUAACUAUUCCUUGUUAACUCGACUUACCUACGAUUGCUAAUUAAUCGGAUUAUUCUAUUGCGUGUUCCAAACUAUUUGCUUAUUAUCCUAACUCAAAUAUUGUAAUCGUCGUGAUGACACCUACUCUCAAUCCCUUAAGCAAAUCAUAAACCGAUUUUAAAUUUAUUAAUCCAACUAUUAUGUGGAAUAGUGAAGUCAUGAGAUUAACAUCAAAGUCAAUAAUUGAGUCUCAUAAUCAAUUUCAUGCGGAUUACUAAACAAUCAUGCUUUUGGCAGUAACCCUAAAUCUUGUUUAGCUACUCACGUUCUAAUCAAACUUGGAAGAAUUUAUGUUGUACAUGCAAAAUUAAAGAAGAGAAAAGUAAGAACCUUAAGAAUAUCAUCUUCUCUCCGUCUUGUGGUUAGUCAAAAAGUGGUCAACCCUAAAAAAAAAUCGUCCAAAGAUUUUAUUUAUAGUAAUGGAAAAUAACUCUUAUAUCUUUUGUUGAAAUAUUGUCUCCGUGUUGCAACCCUCAAUGUGGAGCUCUGCGGCACACUCCUCAUUGCAAAGUUUGAGCUCCAUGGCGCGGGGCUCAUUGCGAAGAGGGAUGGGAAUUUCAAUCUUUCAAAGUUUAAGCUGUCGCGAUCCAAAUCACCGGACACCAACUCUAACAGCUAGAUAAAAGAAUCCUUACAAUCCAAUUUAAAUUGUUAAUGCGAAAGUGAAAAAAAUAUAAAUUCAUUGCCUUAUUUAAAUACAUAUUUACUCUCAAAUUCGAUUAAAAUAAAAGUACGUUUUUAAAAUACCUGAAAUCCUCCCAAUGAACUAGUCUAAACAAGUACUAGAGCUUCUAAGAGAAUACAAUAAUUGAAAAAUAAGACACAACUCCCACCAUAAGGAAAAUAUAAGUAAAAGUUGUCGGAGAUCAUCGUCAUAUUCACCUAAGAAACAUCAUCGAUCCUGCAACCAGACUAUGCUAAGUGGCAUAGCAGUAUCAACACAAAUAACAUGUACUGUUAGGCAUCAUUGAUCGACCCAAAUCCACCACAUAAUAUCAUUUAAUUAGUCAGAAGAAAAUAUAUAAUUUGAACUAUCAAACCCCUAUCCUUUACACACAACCAUUACUAUCGAGUAAUGCUACCUUCAAACUCAUACACUAUGUACCAAGCGUUCUUACCUUGUUUUCGUUGUUGACUCCGCCAUUAAGAGUCAAUUUCACCCUCCUAUCUUGUCAUAUCUUAACCCUACUAUGACAUAAACUUUUUCAUACCUGCCCCCUUCUACUAAUACUAGAAUUACUCUACUGAAUUCCAUUCCAAAAAUUGAAUCCACCAACUAACUCUAUUAAAUAGUAUGUAAUUUCUCCUAUAACCCCCUACCAAUACCCUGGCCCUUAGCCCUUAGCCACUCAGUGGACCGCCUACAAAAUCCUUAUUUAUUUUUGUUGACUUAUAAUUAACCCAAUAUAUAUAAUUCAGCACACCCCUCAAGUAACUCGAACUAUUCAAGAAUUUCUAAAAUAUCAUUUACGGUGUUUAACAUGAAAUUUCGAUCUACACAAAGGCCAUCCCAACAUUUAAACCCACCAAUCCGGUCACUAAUGGACCAACAUGUGAUGAAUGCAUCAAAAUAAAUAAAUAUCAUUCACCCAUGGAACAACAUGUGAUGAAUGCAUCAUAAUAAAUAGACCCGGUUCACUUACGGAAUCAACAUGUGGUGAAUACAUCAUAAUAAAUAAAUUCGGUUCACUUAAGGAACCAACAUGUGAUGAAUGCAUCAUAAUAAUUAAUAAACAUGGUUCCUUCAUGAAACCAACACACAAGAGAACAAUCAAACACAUACUAGGUGUGGUACACGAGUCAAUCAAUUUAGAACUUAUAUCAACAUGGUACCCAAGUCAAUCAUUAAUAUGUACCAAGCAAGGUACCCAAGCCAAUCAUUAAUAUGUACCAAGCAAGGUACCCGAGACAACCAUUAAUAUGUAUGAGGCGUGGUACCCGAUCCAAUCAAUAAUAUGUACCCGACGUGGUACCAAAGUCAACCAAUAAUAUGUAUCAAGUGUAGUGCCCGAGCCAACCAAUAAGAUGUACCAGACAUGGUAAAGGAGCUAACCAAUAAUAUUUUCAUGGCACGGUAACUGAGCCUACCGAGAAUUACAACAUCACACAAUCACAGUAAUUACAACCACACUUGUAAGACCAUAAACAAAUAAUACAUGUUCAUUGCAUUAGCUUAAUAACAACAUAUCAAUUCACGUUCAUCCCUUGUAACUCUUUAACCAUAUAUUGUACAAGUAAACUAGCGAAUAAUUAACAAGAGGACAUAAUGUAAAUCAGAAACAUAUCAACCAUUACUUACUUCAAGCGACCCUUCUCAUACAAUUUUUAUAUGGGUGGUACCAUGUAAACAAAUCAACCAUCACUUACUUCAAGCCACCUGACCUAUUAAUCCACCUCGAACUACCACUUUUAUGGUUAUACUAGUGAAUUAUGGUAAUAUAAUCAUUAACAAAUAUUUUUUGCGAAAAACCCAAGGUUUCUACGCACACCAAUUCUUCUUACACCAUAUUUUUCAUCCUAGGCCAAAUCAAAUCCUCCCCAAGGUCCGCAACUAUCGAUUCUAAGGCAUAGGAAUUGAAGUACCAAGUUGGGGAAACAAAUUGCUUACUUUUACAAAGAUUCUUGACAAAAAUUUGAUAAAAUUCUUCCCAAGUCGCCUCUGCACUUCCCCAAAAUAUUCUUAAGAAAGAAGGAGAGGUUUUGGGGAAUUUUAUGCAUUUAAUGCGACUUACCCCAUCAUAGUAGCAUGAUCCCGCUAUAGCGGCAUCACCCGCUAUAACAAGAAUUUCUUUAGUCAUCAUAGUAGCGUGUCACCCUCCAUAGCAGCUGACACAAGACAAAACCUUAGAAAUACUCCCAAAAUUGCCCAUUUCACAACGCACCUUCAAACCUUGACAUUCCAAACCAACCUCUUCACGCCACGUUCGAUAUUAGGAGCUUUACUCAUUCAAAUUUAGUUCCAGAAAGUCCUACGGAUUCCUUAAGGUCUUAUCUAGGUAAAAAAACAAGCUUUAACUUAGACAUCUUACCCAAUAAUUUUUUGGAUUUUUCUAGACCUCAUUUUGCUCAAAUUUCAUCCAAGCCUAACCUAGCCUGAAACUUUCAACUCUCUACCCCAAAAGUUUUCUCGCCUAAUUUUUUACAUUUAACUCACUCAUAAUGACAGAAAGAGUCGUUACAUAAGCAUUGUCUUGAUGCGGUGUUCCUCAUGAAGAGGUACCGGUGUUAGAAUGUAUUUAUCCACUAUACGUCAAAGGACUAGGUCCCUUGACUCAGCAAGAACAGUAACUAAAAUAAAUACGUUAAAAUAAACAACACAAACAGUUUACGUGUAAACCCUUUUGCUCAAGGAAGGACAAAACCACGACACGUAUUCACGGGAUUUCAACUCAAAUCCAUUAUCAUCAAGGAGCAAAGAUUCAGAUUACAAGCUCUUUCAAUCUAGGAUUUAACUCUAAAUCUCUUCCCCUUUACGGUAACAGCUCUGUUACGAACAAACUUCAAAGCAACAUCUCAGUUGCUCACUAUAUCAACUAACCCUAAUCGAUUUAGACUUCACUAACUCACCAUAGCUAACUCUAGCUAUAACUCAUAAUCAAUGUUGAAUAUACGAACUAAUCUGAUUCCUUUAUAACACAAGAAUAAACUACAAGAGUAAGCACAUAUAUAUAAACCUACAAUAACUAAGAACAGUGACAACUUUAUCAGGUCCCUUGUUGUUCUUGAGGAGAAUAUUACUAGAGAGAAUGGUUUUUGCUCUUUUCAAAAUUUCAAAAUGCAAAAACUAGGUUGUGUCCAUUAGAUAUAAGGCUUAUAUAUGAUGGACACAAAACCCUAGAAGCAAUGUCAUUGGCUGACGAACCUGCCACUCUGCACCAAACCCGCACCACCUCCUGAAGAUGGCAAAGAGUGCAGAGUACUUUUCCAGCUGUUCUUUUAUCGUACAAGAGCACUAUUCUCACAUGGAAUUAGAUCCCCUUAUCAGAUCCCAUGGUUUGUCAAAUCAACAAAACUACAUGUUAACAUUUCCCCCCUUUUUGAUGAUGAUAGACUUCUAUUCUUCUUCCCACUUCUACUUCUCUUCUCCUUCCUACUUUUUCCCCCAUCAACAAUAUCAGGUACCUAUUCCCAGUGAACUGGAAGAAUCUAUCCUAUGCAUACCAAUAUUCCCCCUUUUGGCAUCAUAAAGAAGAAAAAGAAGUAAACCAAGAUUAAAAGUAAGCAAGAAUGGUAAAACCAUGAUCAUUCGGCAACACAAGCAUAAAUGAAAAGCAGAAAAUUAAGAAACGUCAUUAACAACAUAUGGAGUUCAUUUAAUUUCAUACAAAGAGUGCAUUGAAAACAUUACAAAUAAACUACUAAGAGAACCACAUGACAAAAUCCACUGAAAAAAGGGUAAAGGGAAGACAGAUAGCAAGGACCAGGCAUGAACUAGGAAGUAGGGGGCUUUUGGGUGAGGGAUUGCAGGAUAAUAGUGAGACAAGCAUCUGCAUCAUCAUAGGUCUUGCUCAGCUUUUCCUUGAGUUCAGAAUUUUGAGCCAUGAGGGUUUUAUUUUUAUCCCUUAGUUGGUGACUUCAGCCGAACUUUGUCCCUCAGUUUGAGCCUUUACCAACUGUGCCUUCAACAAAGUUAUCUCUGUAUCUUUCUCGCUCAACAAUGUUGUCAUUUCCUCUAACUCAUUCCUCAAUUGACUAUGUUCUACCACCAACUUAUACAUUUUACUCAUGUGCCCUAUUUUUCCUUUCACACACUCACACUCAACAAGGGGUGUUCACGGAGAAGGUUUGCUUCACUGUUCCUCUUACACCUGCUUCAAGAGGAAUCUCCAAGUGACUAAACACACUUGUUAAGAAGUAGCUAUAACCCAUGCCAUGUUUCCCAUUUUUCACUGUAACAGUCUUGUGUAUACGUUCUAGCAUGAUGGCUGGAAGGUUUAUGGCAUCAAACUUGCACAGUGCUUCCAUAAAAAACAGGUCACCCGUAGAAGCAAUUGCUCUUUUCUCAGAUCUAGGAAGAAUAACUUUGUUCACAAACUCAAAAAUCAAUUGAUAUACACCAUUCAUAAGCUUCUUAGGAAUACCAACACAGCUUAGCUUUGGGAGUUUACCACAUACUUGAACAAACUUUUGGAGCAAUAUUGCCCAGCCACUGACCUGAUCCCUUCCAUGGGUACACCUAGAAUCUUUCCCAACCUUUCCUCAUUCAAGUGAAAAUUUUUGUCACCUACUCGCGUAUUGAGACUCCCAUCUUCUAUGAAUUCAACAUUAUAGUAGAAAUCACUGACUUGAUCCUCAUGCAAUAUUGGAAUGUGAUUUACAAACAAGUGAGUCCAUGUUUGUACUUCCACAGAGUCUGCCAGAUUACACAUUCCUGGCUUGGUGAUUAUCUCAGGGUCAAACACCCUUCCAUUCAGAACCUUUUGUUUUUUUAAAACAUUAACUCUCUCUUCCCGAGUUAACUCUUUUUCAACCUUCAUCUUUUUACUCUUUGAACCUGGUCCCUUUUCAGACUCAGGCUCAGAUGCUGCAAAGAGUUCCUCAGUAUCAGGUGAAACUUCUUUUUUUUCUAUUUGAGGUCUCCUUUACUCUCCUAUUCACCGCCUCAUUCGUCGCUCUAUUUUUUGAAUCCACUUAUUUUCUAACUAGUGCUUUCCUUGUUUUGGAUUUCUCCGUUCCUAAUGCAUAUUUCUUCCUCUUUUCAAUUGCAGAAAUGAUGUCCUCUGACACAAUGUCACUCUCAUCAUGCUCAUUUGAGAUUUCAACCACUUAUUCGCCUGGGACCAGGUUCUCUUCCACUACAGUCUUUCUUCUUCUCCUGCUCUCAGUUGUGCUAAGCUUAUUCACCUUCAUUGCAUCACUCAUGAACUUUCUUGUUGAACCCUUGGUAGGGUAUUUUUUUUGCGGAUUUCUCUUCUGUCACUUUCUCUUUUCCCUUACUUGAGAUAGGAACCAUUCUUCUUUGCACAACCCAAUGCAAAGGACGAUUGUCCUCUUCAUCAUCAAUAAUAGUAGAGGGUAGAAUGGUUCCUUGGGUUUUAUCGAACAUUGGUUCAGAGGUCUCAAUAGGAGCCUCUGGAGUUCUAUCUCCUUCCUCGAAAAAUGGAGCUCUUGUGCUUUCCCUCAUUUCAGUGAGACUCUCCACCAUUAACUCUUUACUAGCAGCCAGAAUAUUAGACUCAGAUUUUUUCUCUUCAGGAAGGUCUCCCUCAAAGAGAAGUUUAGACAAAAUAGAGGAGAUGUGACCAGGUUGAGAUAGAGACAAAGGGAUUUCACUUUCUUGAACCGUUUUGGACUAUACAACCUUAUAAAGGGAGGAAUUUUGAGGGUCAUUUAGAUCUAAAUAAGGGGAGCACACUGGAGAGCCUUUGUCAACGGAAUCUGGAAUGACUUCAGGAGUUGGGAUUUGACAUUCUUCAACCGGAGGAAUGGUUGAGAUUGGUGUUGAAAUAGGGUUAAUGGAGAGAGAGGUAAAGGCCACAAGAUCUAUUUCAUUUAGAAUGUUCAGCAUCUUUUGGAAAAGAGAUGAAGUUUGAGACAUUUUGUAGAGAAAAAAAAAUAGGAGAAAGAUGUUAGGGUUUAUGAAAGAUUAGAGUAAAGAGUUCAAAAUUUUGGGAAGAGAGAUGAGGAAAGAGAGUAUAAAAAUAAAUGAAGAGGUGUGUCAGGUCCCUUGAUAGGAUACGUCGCUUGGAGUUAAAGCGAUGGGAUAAUGGUCAAAAGACAGUUGACUGACACAUGGCAGUCACAACGAUUUUCAUUAGUAGUUUGAAUAUAAUGUAAGAGUGCUUACCCUUUUGAGAUAUGACCAGGUCCCUCUGUGCAAUUUGAAUAUAUUUAUCCCAGAAUUGUUUUUUCCUUCCUUUAUACCAGCAAAUCAUUAUGAGUGUAUACCUGCAAAAGGUAUAAGAUUGAUUUUACCAGAACAAGAAUUACAAAUAACAAGGAUACCUGCCUCCUAACCAUAGCCAAUGAGGGUUGGAUGUUUUAGAUGGAGUCAGCUCAGUCAAGCUUCAUCAUUCCCAACCUCAAUCUGUUAUUCUCAAACAAGUUCUUAAUCAAGGCUUUGGUGAAGAUGUCAACAAUUUGAUCCUUAGUCUAACAAAAUUGCAUACAAAUGUUUCCCUUUUCUACAUUAUCUCUCAAAAAGUGAUGUCGCACAUCAACGUGCUUAGUCCUUUUAUGCUGACCUGGAUUCUUUGCCAUAUUGAGUGCACUUGUGUUAUCACACAAGAGUGGGAUAGUGUGAGUAAUCACUCCAAAGUCUUAAAGUUGUUGCUUUAUCCAUAGAAAUUGAGCACAACAACAUGCAACUGCUACAUAUUCUGCUUCAGCUGUAGAAAGAGCCACUGAAUUUUGCUUCUUAGUUCCCCAGGAGAUAAGUGAAGACCCCAAAAAAUGAGCCAUUCCUGUGGUGCUCUUUCUGUCAACUAGAUACCCUGCAUAAUAUGCAUCUGCAUAUCCCACCAGUUCACACGAGUCUCCUGAAGGAUAGAAUAGGACCAGGUCCCUAUCUUUUUCAGAUACCUUACGAUUCGCUUGGCAGCUUUCAAAUGAGACUUCUUAGGGCAGGCUUGAAACCUAGUACACAUACCCACACUAAACACAAUAUCAGGUUUGCUUGAUGUCAAGUACAUCAAUGAACAAAUUAUGCCUCUAUACAUAGUUUCAUUCACCAUGGGACCAGGUUCAUCUGCAUCCAGUUUUGAGUUUGUUCCCAUGGGAGUGUCAAUAGGCUUUGUAUCCAUCAUAUGUUUUUUUUUCAAAAGCUCUUUGAUGUACUUUUCUUGACAAAUAGAGGUACCAUUUGAUGUUUGUCUGAUCCGCAACCCCAGGAAGAAACUUAAUUCUCCCAUCAUACUCAUUUCAAAUUCACUCCUCAUUAGUGAAGCAAAUUCCUCACACGUGACUUCAGACGUUGCUCCAAAGAUAAUAUCAUCAACAUACACUUGGAUAAUGAGCAAUUAUUUACCUCGUGUUUUUAAAAAGAAAGUAUUGUCAAUUUUUUCUCUUUUGAAACCAUUUUCUAGAAGGAACUUACACAAUUUUUCAUACCAAGCUCUAGGAGCCUGUUUUAGACCAUAAAGAUCUGUAUCCAAUUUAAGCACAUGAUUUGGAUAAUCAACAUCUUCAAAUCCAGGGGGGUUGCUUUACAUAAACCUCUUUCUUCAAGUAACCAUUCAAGAAUGCACUUUUCACAUCCAUUUGAAACAAUUUGAAUUCCAUAAAGGCUGCAAAAGCAAUGAGAAUUCUGAUAGCUUCCAUCCUUGCCACAAGGGAAAAUGUUUCAUCAUAAUCAAUGCCUUCUUCUCAGUUAUAUCCCUGCACCACCAGCCUUGAUUUGUUUCUUGUAAUAAUUCUAUGUUCAUCCAUCUUGUUCCUAAAGACCCAUUUGGUCCUUAUUGCAGUUCUAUCAUAGGGCCUUGGGACUAGGUGCCACACUUUACUUCGUUCAAAUUGGUGAAGUUCCUCUUGCAUGGAAUUCACCCAAUCAUCAUCUUUCAAGGCUUCCUUGGUAUUUUUAGGCUCAAUAUUCGAUAUGAAUGCUGAGAAUUCAACUAGAUUUCUAAUUUUGGACCUAGUAUGCAUUCCAGAAUUCAUAGGAGAAAUAAGAUUAUCAAGAGGAUGAGAAGACUUGUGUUUCCAUCCUGACUUAGUUGUCAAGGGUUGCGGCUAAUCUGCUUCUUCCUCUUCAUUUUUAGAAUCUUCAUUCUCAGGUUGAACUGCAUCCUCUGGUUCAAUAUUAUCAAACAAACCAGGUCCCUCUUCAGGUUCAACAUCUUCAUUUACUUUUUCAGUUGGAUCUGGUUCAAUUAUAUUUGGAUCUUGAGUUCUUUCAGCUUGUGACUCAUUCAGACUAUCUCUCUGAAUCUGAAGUAGUUCUUCUAGCUCAUCAUCAUCCUUGUUCUUUAGAUCUUUGAUAUCACCAGUUUCAUAUAAAAUAUCAUAUGAACACUUUCUUCAAUGCACAUUGUCCUCUUAUUGUAAACUCUAUAAGCUUUACUUGAAGAUGAAUAUCCCACAAACACUCAUUUAUCACUUCUACGAUCAAAUUUUCCUAGAUCAUCUUUCCCAUUGUUCAGUACAAAGCAUUUGCAUCCAAAAGCCCUUAAAUAACUCAAUUUAGGCUUUCUAUUGUUGAGCAGCUCGUAAGGAGUUUGGUUUAGAAAAUACCAGAUCAAACACCUGUUAGUCACAUAAUAGCUGUGUUAACUGUUUCAGCCUAGAAUUUUUUUGGAAGAUUUGAAUCAAUGAGCAUAGUUCUGGCAGUAUCAACCAGAGUUCUAUUCUUCCUCUCAACAACACCAUUCUGUUGAUGUGUUCUUGGAGCUGAAAAGUUAUGAUGAAUGCCAUUUUCAACAUAAAAAUUAUCAAGCUUGGCAUUUUCAAACUCAGUCCCAUGAUCAAACCUCAUCCUUGCAAUCUUGCAGUUUAUCUUUGUCUGAAUCAUUUUAACAAACAACAUCAACACAUCAUAUGUUUUAUCUUUGGACCUUAGAAACAUAGUCCAAGUGUACCUUGAAUAAUUAUCCACAAUCACAAGGAUAUACUUCUUCCCACCUCUACUUUGAAUCUUCACAGGGCCAUAUUGAUUCAUAUGAAUUAACUCAUGAGGUCUUGUUGUGCUUACUAGCUUCUUUGAUUUGAAAGAUGAUCUGAUCUGUUUUCCUUUGAUACAUGCAUCACACACUUUUUCAUCACUGAAUUUUAAGUUUUGGUAAUCCACGGACUAGGUCUCUGAAUACAAGUUUGUUUAACAGAGAUGAUCUCACAUGACCAAGUCUCAUUUGCCACAAGUCACCAUUUUCACUUUAGGCACUAAGACAAGUAAGAUCAUCUUCUUGGCAGUAUCUAGAUCAGCAACAUACAUAUUCUUUCACCUUCUUGCAGUUAAGAUUACUUCCUUUGAAGUUAGAUUUGUAACAAUACAACUUUCUGAUAGAAAUCUGACAUCAUUACCUUUAUCACAUAUUUAAGAAACACUAAGAAGACUGUAUUUCAAUCCAUUCACAUAGUAUACAUUCUCAAUAGAGUGCUCAAUAAUUUUUCCAAUUCUUCCAACUCCCAGAAUGUAACCCUUCUUUCCAUUUCCAUAUGAGACACAUCCACCUUGAAGUGCCUUGAGUAAGAGGAAGUUUUCAAUUUUUUCAAUCAUAUGUUUUGAACAUCCACUGUCCAUGAACCAGCACUGAUUGUUACUUCAUCCACUCCCCUGAAACAUAGAUUAUUCAUUAGAUUUGGGAACCCAUUUCAGUCUGAGAUCCUAGUAAGUAGAUAUAGGCAUAAUAAGGGAAUUUCUCGUCCAGUGUGGCAAGAUAGUCUUUGUCAUGUUAUGAAAAGAGCCAGAGUUAGCACAAUGUCCCUUAUUCUGUAUGAAUUUUUGGUCGGAAUAGAUUGAGAAACUUUCUUGAGUUUUUUUCCAAGCUGGACACUCCUUCUUCACAUGACCAUUACGGCCACAAUGGAGACCUCAAAGAUUGUCAGACACUGACACAUAUUUGUUGUGAGGGUUAUAGAGAGGAAUUAUGUUCAAGCUUCCAAACCCUUCCCAUCAUUUUGACCUUGACUAGUAAGAUUGGCAAGCAAUUUUGAAAAGUUGGUCCAUUUGAGAGAUUUGUUCGGUUCUUCUUUGACACAGACCAUGUCCUUUUCUAACUGAUCAUUUCUCUCCUAGCCCAUAGAUAGUUUCAUUUCAUAAUUAUUCAAGCUAGUUUACAGCUAGAGUUGUAAACUGCUAGAUUCACCUUUUCCUCUAGCACAUUUCCUACUCAACUUAUUUAAUUUUUUCUUGAGUUCUAGACUUUCAGAUUCCAGAACCAUUAUUCGUUCUUCCAUUACUGACAUUUGAGAAACCAAAGCUGCUUUUUCAUCAUUAAAAAUAUCUAGACUGUUAUUCAUCAAAUAUUUUUCAGUGGUCAACUCAGUGAUUUAGUCGAUCAAAACAACUGCUAGACUCAUCAACCUUUUAAUAGAAUAAACAUGCAGGUUUUGUUUAAAGUCAGAAAGAGUUACCUCUUUUUCAGCUUCUUCAUCAUCAGAUUUUUCCAUGAAAGCAAACAUUGCAUCAAACACAUCCUCAUCAUCUUUCACUGCAAACAUGGAGGUAUCUUCAGGAUGUUCUAACUCUUCUGAGUCGCUUGAAGACUCCCUCCAGACAACAAGGACCUUCUUCACAACAUAAUCAGCAACAACUUUUCUUCCUUUCUUAUCAGGGACCAGAUCCCUUCUCUUGUCUUUGUCUCCUCCAUCCUUGACAUAGUCUUUAUAUUCAAGUUUGUGCAUAGCGCAAUCUCUGAUAAAAUGCCCUGGUUUUCCACACUUGUGGCAUAAGUCAUUUGCAUUAGCAGCCCUGCUAGAGUUUCCUAUCUUCCUGAAACCCCCUUGCUUCCUCACGAUUUUCUGAAAUCUUCUAGUCAGAUAUGUGUAACACCCCGUAUUUUACGUGUACAAGUUCUACGCAUAUGGAACUUGAUUUAGCUUGGUGGUAUAAGUAAUGAACUUGAUUUCCUAGUUGAAUGGUGACAAUAAAGAAGGUAUAAGGGUAACACCUUUACAUUGCAAUAUUGCACGAUCAAGUGAACGUUAAAUUUUAGAAGUAUUUAAAUUAUGGAUCGAAGGGUUAUAUGUAAGUCUAAAAGUUAAGGUGAUCAAGUGUAUAUAAGUUUUGAGUUAAACUAAGGAGAUUACGCUCGGAAAACGAAUAAAAGAAUUGAGGUGCUUGUUGCACUUUAUAAAGCUAGCAGGUGUCACCUACUUGCUUAUCUCAAAUGGGCUAGGUAGAUGGGGAAGAUUAGUUCAUGCAUUAGUGGGCUCACUUGAGGCCCAAAUUAAAUAAAAAGGAAAAAGGGAAUGGGGAUGAGGCCUUACACCAAUCUGUCCAAUUCCAACUACUUGAGCCUAAUAAAGAUUAAGACCCAAAUUAAGGGUAUAAUUCUGGCCCAUGGCUUAAUAUUAGAAAGGGGAAAGAUUGCAGCCCAAGAUGAGUACAUAAAGGGCCCAUCUUGUGUAUAUAUAAUUCCAAGCAGAUGCAUCACCUACUUGGACCACUUUGACAAAUUAGUGGCUGAUAUUAAAACGUAAGAGGUGGGGAAAAAUAAGACCUUUAUAAUCCCCAAGUUGCUGGCCAUUUCUUCACUUUUAAGAAUAGAUAAAAAAAAUCAGAUUUCUCUCUAAGCUUCUCCUUUCUCUUUCAAAGCAUAGCAGUAGCCACAAGUUUCCUAGGGUUCUUGGAUAAACCCAAGCCCUUGCAAGGGAAGCUCAAGUUAUUGAAGAGUUAAAGUUAAAAGAAAACGAGUUAUAAGAAUUAAGGUAAAGUGACUUCCCUAUCUUUGUCUUCCUUAAACACGAGUCUAAGUAUGAUAUUUUAAGUAUACUGUUGAUAAGAACUCGUGGGAUGAUGAUGGGAAACUAUAGUUUCACGUACUCUAUUGUAUGUUGGAUUGUUAGGACUGUUUUGGGACAGGUUGAUGUGUAUACAUAUUGGGGACAGCUUGGUUGAUGUCUGAAAAGGGUGUAAAUUGUUGAUAUUAAAAUAUAGUUGUGUAGUGUACAAAUGCAAUAAAAGAAGACGGGGAUUGAAAGAACAUCCUUAGUUUAGUAAUUACGGGUUUGCUGCUCGAGCAUUAUUAUUGAGUGAGAUUGGACUGCCUAAGCAUGUUAGUAACUACUAAUACUAGUGUAUCACCUACUAUAUUGUAGAUAAGUAUUUGAAAAGAAAGGAAGGUACUUCAAGGUAACUACAAGGUGGUACAACAAGGUAUGUAAGACUUUUCAAUUUCCGACUAAUUGACAUGAAAUCUAGACUCGCCCUCAACGCAUAGAGGCAGCCUACCAGCUCCAACACGACUUAUUAUCUUGUUCUCACUCUUUAACAUGUCUACACGUUCCAAUACAUGUUCAUUGUCAAAUCUGUACAUAUACAUUGAAUACCCUGUAUGAGUUCUCCUUUUAACUAAAUAAGGUCCAUAUUUUAUUUCAGCUCCUAUGCAUUUCACUAAUUGUGUAACUACUCUCUACUUUGUUGUUCUUGCAUUAUAUGAUUAUUACAUGUCACUUGUUGACUACAUAGUCCCACAACUCGAAAAUGCUAUGACCACCAAAAGAAUCAUCUCAAAUGUUAAUGGAAAGAUAUUAAAUGAAUUUACUUAUUGAUGGGUGGUAUCCCAGGGGUGGAAGAAUCACCUAGCAUGGGUCGAUCCCAAUAUUACGGGUGGUAUCCCAGGGGUUAAAGGAAAGUCUAGCAUGGGUCGAUCCCGAUUUAUAUGUCUACCACUGAUCAGCUGGUCAUUUGUAUUAUAUGUUGUGCAUAGAGAGUAAAGUAAAGAAUGAUAAAGUAAAGAAAAGAAUGUAAAGUACCUGAUUCCAUAAUAUGAGAAAAGUUGGUCUUGUAUUCUUACAUUGGUAUAUGAUUUCAUUUGAGUUCUUAUUUCACAUAUAAUACUUUAUGCCUUAUAUACUCAGUACAUUCUCCCGUACUAACGGCUCUCUCGGGGGACCUGCAAUUCCUAUUGCAGGUCUAAGAGCUAGUAGAUCUCCCCAGUAGGAGAACAGGACAUCCAUCGGCUAUUGGUGAGCUCCAGGUUGAUUCGGGGCUUUCCGAGUCUAUAGCAUGUAUUUUGGUAUUGUAUAGUAGCUGAGUGUAAGGCGGGGCCUGUCCCGACCUUAACCCCAUAAUGUUUUAUCAUUUAAAGGCUUUGUAGACUAUCUAUAGUGAAGUGUGGUUGUGCCUCGUGUCUUAGACAUCAUGGUCCCAACGGCCAAGUCAUGUGCACUUUCUUUUGGCUUGUUAAUACUAUCUACUUUCAUGAAAACACAUGUUAUCCACUAUGGCAGAACCUUUAAAUGUUCAUAGAUAUAGCAUGAUUAGUGGUUGGUCCUCCCGAGCCUUCUCGGCAACGGGUGCCAGUUCGCCUUAAUGGGAUUUUGGGCGUGACAAUAUGUCAUAUCUUCAUCUUAUUUAAACACUUCACUUGAUGUCACUUUGAGUGCUAGUGACUUGUCCCUCUACACCUCCUUAUUUGAAGUUUCCUGAUUUAUGUUCAUCUUGUGAGUUUGAAGAUUUCCAAUCAAGGCAUCCAUUGUCAGCACCUUUAGGUCCUUAGCCUCACUAAUAUCAACUUUACUUGCCCAUGACUUAGGAAGAAUUCUAAGUAUCUUCAUGACUUGUUUACUUGGAUGAAUGGGCUCUCCCAGGCAACACAACUCAUUUGUGAUAGAUGAGAAUCUGGUGUUCAUAUCAUGAAUGGCUUCUCCCUCCUUCAUGGUGAAGUUUUCAUACUGAGUAGUGAGCAUGUCCACCUUUGAUUCCUUCACUUGCUUAGUCCCUUCAUGAAUAGUUUUGAGAUAGCCCCAGAUUUCUUUAACUAAUUCAUACGUGGAAAUUCGAUUAUAUUCCUCAGCUUCUAUGCCACACACCAAUAAUUUAUUUGCCUUGUAGUUAUUCUCAAUCUUCUUUCUAUCAGCCUCAGUGUACUGUUGUCAAGUUUAGGGAAUAAAUCUAGUAAUGUCUCCUUCCUUCACUUCAGCUAUAGGAGCAUAGGGACCAUCAAGCACAACAUCACAUAGCUCAUUGUCCUUAGCCAAAAUAAAAUCAUGUUUUCUAUUCUUCCACCAACUGUAGAACUGGCCGUUAAAACGAGGUGGCCUAGUUGAUGAUUGUCUUUCCUCCAAAUUUAGUGGAGCAAUCGUUCUUCUAUAUGAUUCUCUUUUGGUGAUAAAAAGUUAGAGAGCCCAGGCUCUAAUACCGAUUGUUAGAAUGUAUGCGUCCACUAUACGUCAACAGAACAAGUCUCUUGACUCAAUAAGAACAGUAACUAAAAUAAAUACAUUAAUAUAAACAACAUAAGUAGUUUACGUGGAAACCCUCUCGCUCAAGGGAGGAAAAAACCACGACAUGUACUCACAGAAUUUCAACUCAACUCCAUUAUCAUCAAGGAGCAAAGAUUCAUAUUACAAGCUCUUGCAAUCUAGGAAGUUAACUCUAAAUCUAUUCUCCCUUACUGUAAUAGCUCUGUUACGAACAAACUUCAAAGCAACAUCUUAGUUGCCCACUAAAUCAACUAAUCCUAAUCGAUUUACACUUUAUUAACUCACCAUAGCUAACUCUAGCUACAACUCAGAAUCAAUGUUGAAGACACGAACUAAUCUGAUUCCUUUAUAACACAGGAAUAAAUCUACAAGAAUAACCACAGAAAUAUAAACCUAUAACAACUAAGAACAAUGACAACUCUAUCAGGUCCCUUGUUGUUCUUGAGGAGAAUAUUUCUAGAGAGAAUGGUUUUUGCUCUUUCCAAACAUUCAGAAUGCAAGAACUAGAUUGUGUCCAUUUGAUAUAAAGCUUAUAUGUGAUGGACACAAAACCCUAGAAGAAAUGCAAUUGGUUGACAACCCUGCCAUUCUGCACCAGACGCACACCACCUAAUGAAGAUGGCAGGGUGUGCAGAGUAUUUUUUCAGCUGUCCUUUUCUCGUACAUGCUCAUAUGGGAUCAAUUCCCCUUAUCAUAUCUCAUAGUUUGUCAAAUCAUCAAAACUACAUAUUAACAACUGGAAUUUCAAUCCUCCAAACUUUAGCAUAGUCCUAAUACGGGGCUCAUCAUAGAGAGGUGUUCCCGCAUCGCAUGCCUCAUACUUUCAUUAUCUUGCUUCCUUUUCAAUCCAUACUCAUAUUUUGUUUCUCUUUUUGCAUUAUAUUAGCUUACCUACAUAAAUUAUGCACAAAACACAUGAAUAUACACGAGUUUAUUAUAAAAGCUCAAGCUAAAAUAUUGGUAAUAUGCGACACUUGGAUGUAUAAAUAUCCUCAAGAUCAUCAUCCCACACUUAGAGCUUUGUUCGUUCUCAAACAACUCAUUGUAUACCUCACAAAACUUAAUGACAUAAACAUACCAAUUGAAUAAAUGUACACACACUCAUAUUCGCUCAACAACUUACUUAUGAUAUCUAAUUUACUCAUUUAAACACAAUUUAUUGAAAAUAAAAAAAUCCUUCAUGCAAAAAUAAAAAACCUCUCAAACUAUCUCUUUGCAAAAAAAAUAUAGGACCAAUAUGAUUAUGUGCAAGUAUAAAAAUCAUUAGUUUAUCCAAUUCUGACAAUUAAGUGCCCUCAGUACUAUUAAAAAUGAUAUUACAUUUUCACACUGCAAAUAUGUACUCAAAUUAGGGACAUAAUCAUACACUCUCUCUCUCAAAGAAAUAUACCAAAAAUCUCUACAUUUGCCCUUAGUGUAUUGCUUAACAAACCAAAUUACCUAAUUGUAGGAUAAAAAUGACUUUUUUGGUUGUAAUGUGAGCAAAGGAAUAGGUAGAAAUUAUUUGACAAAUAGUGACUAGCUAUUACAAUCCCCAUCUAUUAUCCAACCAUGCUAUCAACUCAAAACAGUACAACUCAAUAAACAACAGUACAAGGAAAAGAGAUCCAUAUAGUAAUCUAGCAAAAACAAAGGGAUGAUUUUCCCUACCUCGCACCAAAACAAUAACAUUUUCCUCAUUACAUAAAGCCUAAAUCACUAAACAAAAGUGAGGUAGGAGAACUCAUUAGGUCUCUAAUCAAAGUCAUAAUCGGGAUAAUACGGUGGGUUGCCUAUCUCUAAAUCUUCUUCAUCAAACUCCUCUCUCUCAAUGCUCGAGUCCUUGAAAACCUACUUGUGGGACUAUGAGGGGCAUGAAAGGUCGGCAGAGCAUGUGAACUUUGUCUCGUGUGGGACCUCUUAUGGCUUUGGAUGGAUAAGGCUACCUUGACUUUGUUCCCUUUAAAUGUCAUGGUACCUUAAACACUUUGCGUGCAUGAUUACCCACUCCUCGGUUUCUUUUGACGCCUACCACCGGUAAAACUCUACAUGAAAUACACCAAAAAUUGUUAGAAAGAUGUGUUGCCUCCUAUAAAACGUCUUAACUUUGAUCAUGACACGACACAUAUUUUUGUAUAUUUGUUCCCAACAAGAGCAAUAAUUUUCAUCAUGGCACAAUAUAUCUUUUUAUAUAUUUGUUUUACUCUAUUUUACAUCCUAUACUAUUAGGGUUUCCUCUCAAGUAGCGCUUGAUUUGAUUUUGCAGCAUGACGUACCUCAAAUCAAUCAUUAGACAAAUGAAUUGAGGUAUUUUGCAUGUUUGAAUCCUCAACCAAAUGUGGCUUAUAUCUAUGCCUAUUUACCAUGAAUGUGUCAUAUUUAUCUUCUUUUCAUAGCUCAAUAGCCUCAUGCAGAGUUAUGGCACGCUCCGAGCCUACACCCUGGAAGUGGUUGGCAUACAAGAACCAUUGAUGGUCCCUAAGUGAACCCUUGGCCUGAUUGGAUACUUAACGGAAGACUUACUCAAGAAAUGAUAGGCUCAAAAUAUAAUUUAAUCAGUUAAGCUCAAAUACUCGUCUCAUAAAAUUUAGAAAAUACUCAUCUUUAUACUUAUAGUUUGUAAAACAACUUAAAUAGAGUAAAUAUUGAGAGACACCUCGACUUUGGCUCUCUAUGAAGCCUCUACUAUUAAACAAAUAUGUUGGGACAAGACUCAUGUCAUCUCAAAACUACUAACUAGAAAGUAAAUGUGAAGUCCUCCGGAAUACAAUGAGGCUCACCAAAAUCUAGCUGGAGUGUAGAGUGAUCUCAACGAAGCGCAUGUUGAUGAUCAUGAACACCUGUAGCUGCAUCAUAAAAAGAUGCAGAUUGAAUUACAUUAGUAAUUUGAAUGUAUGAGUAUGUUAUAUAGUCGAAGCGAAAUAACUGAAUAAGAGGACUGCAAUAGAUAAAUAUAUACUCAAGCUGAAUGUAAAGAAAUAAAGGAGUUAAAUCAUUUAUAGCCUUACAAAAUACUUACUCAUCUCGGAACUCAACAUAAUAAGUGAUAUAUUAAAUACACUUUAACUCUAUUAAGAGAUUUUCUAACCGAUAACCAUCACUAUGAGCUACGUGAUGAUAUAACGUCUUGUCCACGCUGUCAGAAUUGUCAUAUAUCGUGUCGGGAUAUAGAACCUCGCAAAUAAGUGGAUCCACUAAGAAAUAAUGAUGCAUAUAAAAUGAAUGAUCAUGUACCAAUGUUGGCAAGGCAUGGUUUAUGGGGGUUGUGAGUUGUCUGAACUCUCCCCCAUAUCGAUAUUCCAUACUACUCCCAAUAAUAUAUACUCUUUCUCAAAUAUAUAAAACAUACACUUUCUCUAGUUUGAGAUAAUUGAUCAAACUAUCCUCUCAAAAAAGGUAACUGCUUUGAGAUAUCACUGAAACUCAUUGCUCAUUUAUAAAAUAAGGUUUCUCUUUGCUCAAUGUUAAAAUACAUUUCGGGUUGAGAUAAUUACUCAAAAGGGGCCUCUUUAAGAGGUAACUGCUCUGUACUCAAUCUUAAAAAUUCUAUUAACUUUUCUCAAAAUAAUAUUCUCUUUCUCCAUGUAAAAAUGAAACAUUUGGAAAAUACUUAGUUCCCUUAUACUCUUGCUUAAAUCUUGGUUAAGCUAUUUCUCAAACUCAUCUUUACUUUCUCAAAACUCGAUUUAAACAAUUAUGUUUUGUUUAAAAUAUUCUUAAUAAUAACUCAAUGAAUACUCAGAAAAUAGGGUUCAUGUUGAAAAAUAGACAUGAACAAUCAACUCAAGAAUCUCAAUGCCAAGAUAUAACAACUCACUAAUCAUUUAAUAAUCGGUAACUCAAGAAGUCAUAACUCAAUAUCAACGCAUCUCAAGAAUAACGAAAUCUAAGGAUAGAACCCUAGAUUACUCUUUUACUGAUUUAAAAGAAGACGCUGGGCAUGAGGACGAACUAGUCCAACACUAUGAUAGUCUUACAUACCUGGAAGAAUAAAGUUCUUGGCGAAAUCGAUGAAGCUCGAAACCCUAAAUUUUAUCCUCUUGGAAACUUGCUCUAAUGACUUGAAGUGUUAAUGAAUGUAACAAAACUGAUUAACACCUUCCAAGCCCUUAACUAGGUGUAUAACAUCGUAGUUUCAUCUUAGAGUAAGGGUUAAAAUGACAUAGCUUAAGUACCAAACGCAUAGGGGAAAGACCAAAAUGACCCCAACUUAAAAAUUGAUGGAGUGACCUUCAAGGACGGCUUCACAGACCGUUUAAGGCUUCACGGUCUCUGAGGUCGUAUAGCCGUCCGUGAACCUUUGCAAGUCUGACGGGACCUUACUAAAAUAAGCAUAAUGUUUUACUCUAAACUUGAAAUGAGACAAUCUUGGUGGAGUUGGAAAGAUGACUAAAAGAUCUUUAAUUUGAUAGGUUAUGGACCACCUAAUUAAUUAUGAGUUAAGAGAUAUUGUUGCUUGAAGUUUUGAGGUAGUUGGGGGUCAUGUCCUAGUAGACUUAUGCUUUCAAUUGAACUAGUAGAGGCUUAUUUCAGACAGUAGAAAUGUAGUUUCAUGGAAUAUUUCAAUUUUUGCUUAGUUUAUUUAUGUUAUGCUUUGAUAUGUAUUCUAAUGGUUGGCUUAGGAUCACUCGUGGUUUUAGGUAUCAUUUCUCGAUUGGGGUAUAGACUCUGAUCAUGACAAACUUUGUAUUAGAGUAUAAGGUUUAACUGUCCUAGUGUCUAAAGAGCCACAUCUAGUAAAGUAUUUUUUUAUGGGUGUAAAGCGCGCUAUACUUACAAGGGGAGGCUACAAGAAGUUUAGGAAAUAUUUCUCCCAUUUCAUACUUUAGAUCGUACAACAAAACUGUCCCCCAAGAAACAUAUGCAUAUUCAUGUGUUGCUCUAAUUUCUCUAACUAUUCCUUAUCUUUAAAGUGAUAGAAGUAGUAAAGCUUAAUUACAACUUGUCACGCCCCGAGCCUACACCCUAGACGUGGUCGGCACUCGAGAACCAUUGUUGGUCCCUAAGAGAACCCUUGGCCUGACACAAUAGUCAGCGGAAGACUUACUAAAAAAUAUAUGAACUCAAAAUUAAGGCUUUACUCAUUUGCCUUAAAAAUAAAUAAACUCAGAAAUGUAUAGAAACAUUCAACUGGCCAAAGAAGGCAACUCAAGUCAUAACAUUAACAAUGGGAAUGGAAAAAACUUCUCAAAACACUACUGUCCAUAAAGCCUCUAAUAACUAUGAUGGACAUCGGGAUAAGACCCACGACAUUCUAACAAAACAAAACUGAAAAUCUCAAUGUGAAAGCCUCCGGAAAGCAAGGAGGCUCACCAAAGGUAGCUAGAAUACAACUGGAUCAAAGGAGCAUUGUUGAUGAUCCUGAAUACAUGUCUCUGCAUCAUAAAACGAUGCAGGUCGAAUGACAUCAGUACAUUGAAUGUACGAGCAUGUAAGGGGAAUACUGAACAUAACAUAUAAGCUUGAAUUGAUAAAAGGAAAUCAUACUCACCUCAACUUAACCCCACUCAACUCAAUAAGAAAUAACUGAUAAAGAUGAAAUAUAUAUAUAUAUAUAUAUAUAUAUAUAUAUCAAUCUUUCAAAACACUAAAUGGUAACUCAAAUGUAUAUAAAAAUACAAUAAUAACUCUUUACUCUUUUUUGGGAGAUUCUCUAACCGACAACCAUCACUAUGAGCUAUGUAAUGAUAAAGAGUCUCUCCCACGCAGCAAGAACGGUCAUAUACCUUGUCGGAGUAUAAGAAAUCCUCAACUAGGUGGAUCCACUUUGUCUUAUCAUUGCCAUUUAUUACAUUCGAAUGAAAUUGGGCCUAGCUCAUACAUCAUGUACAAAAGAGAAAUACAGGAAAGAAACUGAGUACAAUAAAACUCAUCCUUGAAGCAUGAGGACUCACCAAAGCUCGGAAUCCCUAGAUCAACACUUAGCCAUGAAACUGAUGAUCUUGACUGUCGGACCCUACAUUUGGGAAAAAUGUAGGCAAGAGUGUGUGUUAAUACAAAAAUGCACUAAGUAUGAUAACUAUGCACAAAAACAUUUAAAACAUGCUAAAAGGGACAUUUCAUUUCAAAGCAUGCAAUUUACCAAGUUUAAACAUCAUCGUAGCGAUAGUUGGAAACAUAAGUCAUAACAUCAUCUUCAAUGCAAGCUAGUACCAAUUUUAAAACCUUUGAAAACUACAAGAUACUUCUUGAAGCAUGUCUUAGUUCAUUAUUAACUUGUUGUGGAUAUUAGCCUUAACCGACAAGAGACCAUGUGAGCUAUGACAUGAUCCACAGUGUUUCCCAUGCCGAAAAGGGUUGGUCGACUUGCCUAAGGUAGAGCCGAUAAAUCUUAGCUUAGGUGGAUCAACUAGCUAAAUAUCUUACGGGGGCACGUAGUUUGUGGGAUAUGGAGAUUGCUAUUAGAAAUCCGGACACCACUAUGCGAAGGCUUCCAUCUCAUGAGAUAUACUUGGGAAACUCGGACUCUACUGCAUGAGAGCCUUCAAUUUGGAAGCUCGGACUCUACUACGUAAGAGCCUCCAUCUCAUAUUCAAUAUCCACUUUGUUCUAAGCAUAAAUCCCACGGAGUACUUAUUGAGUCUUGACUUAACUCAUGUCUCAUGGAAGGAUGUCCUUGACAACCAAUCCAAGUUAGUUCAUUAGGAUAGCUCUUUAGAUCAUGCGUGAGAAAAUCUUUCACCAUCCAUGAUCACUUUUACUCUUAGAUUCAAUUAGGUGAGAAAAGCCUUUCAACCUAAGAAUCCUUACUAUGUGAGAAAACCUUUCAAAUUAAUGUUAAUAUGUGUUCAUGAGAAUUUCCUUUCAAUCAACACAACAACAAUAUCAUAAUCAUUGACACUUUACUCUCAACCAUCAUUAAAGAAUUUUCAUAGAUUUCAUAAAAACAUGCAUAAUCUCAUACUUUGCUCUUUCAAGGUUCAAAACCUACUUUCAAUCACCACAUCUAGAAUUCAAGCAUUAGAUAGGGAUUUCAUCAUAAUUUCAUGUGAUUCUAUCACCUUAUGCAUUAAUUCAUAAAAUUCCUCUUUCAUUAACAAAGACCCACAUCAUAAUAUCACAAUUGAGAAAUAUGGAAAUUACAUGGGUUCAUGGGGGAACUUCAUAAAUACCAUAAGAAAUCAUCAAUUCAUGCCUAAUAUAACUCAAUUCAAUUAAUUAAAUCAAGUUUGAAAGGAACCCAUGACUUUUCAAUCAAACCCUAAUAAUGGGGGAUUUCUAUCUUUUGAAAUUGGAGAUUUUGAAGGAACUCCAUUGAUGAAAGCUACCAUACCUUAAAAACAAAGCCCAAAAAAAUUGAUGUGUAAAAGCUUCCUUCUUGAAACCUAGCUUGAAUCUCCUUCUUAUUCUUUUUCAAGUUUCUAGAGAGAUAAAUAUUUUGAGAGGAGGAACUUCGGGGAUUUGUUUUGGGGUUUGGGAAUAAUGACUUGAAUGGGUUAGUUUUAGAGUUAAAAUCACUUAUAUAGGGGUCCUAGGCUUAGGCAAAACGACUUGGCUUUAUUUUAAUUAAGACCGAAAUUACCCAAAUAAUCCUCACUUGCCAGUGCACUGCCCAAGGACCACGUGAGGUCCCACGAACCCUGGUCCCAUUCGUGGACCAUGGGGCAGUAGCUAGGUAAGUUGCCCCCUCACCCCAAAUUCCUAAGACAACUCCACGAGCCUUCCCACGAGCCGUGAAGUGGCUCGUGAAGAGGGGUUGUUUUUGGGCAGCCUUAGGGAGGCUACUGCCUGGCCCACCACGAGUUGUGGUCCUCACAACGAUCUGUGGUGGUGGUCGUGGUUGGUGGGGCAUUGUCUAUGGGAGAGUGGACUGCCCUAGUCCACUUCCUUGGCUCUUGCCCUCUUUUGUGGCUCUAACCUUCACACUUAAACUAGUUUAGUCUACUAGUUUCCGGGGUGUUACAUUAUCUCCCCCUUGGGAACAUUCAUCCUCGAAUGACGCUCUAGACACUUUGCGGAAGUAAAGACUCAAGACUAGCAACACAUCAUGCAUGCAAUAUCAUAACAAUGCACAAAACAAAAGAGGAAACAUCAACUCCAAGCUAAACAUAUUCAAUGCACCUCAAGGAAAGUAGGAACUCUUCCUAACAACCCAAUAUGCAUGAAAUUUCAAAUUUUAUCAUCUUUAAGGAGGAACCACCUUCUCCUAGCUCAAAAGAAUACUCAACAAAAUCUCAUAGAGCCUCUAUGCAAUUUACUCUAAAAAAAACUAUAACUAAAGCAUGUUCAACAAUUCAUCUCAUGAAGCACAUAGGCACUCAUACUCAAUGCACAACAACAUGAGGAAAAUCGAUCAUAUAACUCAAUUUGUUUCAAAACAUAAGCUUUCAUGAACAUGUAUAACAUAAGGAGAUCAUGGAACACAUAAAACACACAUGACUCCAAAACAUAGAACAAACCAAGAGGAACUCAUUACCUCAAGCUAAAGUAGGAGUAGAAGGAAAGAUAUAAGGAUAUCAGGACAUCAUAUCGACCUCGGCCACCCAAGUAGAACCAUCAACUAAGUGAUUCCUCCACAACACUUUUACGGAAGGGACUUCUUUAUUUCUCAACUUCUUAACUUGCCGGUCCAUAAUCUCAACCGACUCUUCCUCAUAAGAAAGACUUUCAUCAACUCUCAACCCUUCUAGGGAAACUAUGGAUGUCGGGUCUCCAACAGACUUCUAGAGACAUGGAAAACUGGAUGCACGGAUGUCAAAUCACUUGGAAAAUCUAACUCACAAACAACCUUACCAACACGUCUCAAAAUAUCAUAUGGGCCUACAAAACGGGGACUAAGCUUCCCUUUCCUUUUCAAACCUCGUCACACCCUUCGUAGGUGAAAUUUUUCAGUAAAACCCAAAUCAUGAACAUUAGGGACACUCAAUAACCUUGUUAUCUAAGCACACUAUCUCUCCCUUGGGAGAAAGCCUCAUCGAAUUUCAUAAGCAUCGUUUCUUUCAAGUCAACCAAAAUUGAAUCAAGCCCUUUCUUAGCUUUCAUAUUCACCACCACAGAUGAUUCGGACCCAUUGUAAACCAUAACACCACCCUUGGUGGAAUACACUAAUUGAACACUUAAUCGAGCCAACUUAUGAAUAUCUCGAACCAACUCUUUCUUUUCUUCACAUAUAUGAGCCACACUACCAUAGACAAUCUACUAACAUCAUCCGCUACCCUAUUACAUGUACCAGGAUGAUAAAGAACACUCAUGUCUAGAUCUCUCAAUAACCCCAACCACCUUCCUUGGCUAAGAUUCAAUUUUUUUUGAUUGAGCAUCAUUACGAACAUAUCAAGGUAUUGUCCAAACACCCUAUUCAUCAAAUUCAUAAACGCCGCCAAAGCAUUAGUCAACCCAAACGACAUUACCAAAGAACUCAUAAUGACCAUACCGGGUUCUAAAAGUCAUCUUUGGAAUAUCAUCCCCUCUCACCCUCAAUAAGUGAUAACCCGACCGAAGAUCAAUCUUAGAGAAAUAAAUAGCCCCUUGAAGUUGGUCAAACAAAAAUCUAUUUCCCUCACUCUAACUAGGUGGUAAAAGCAACCUUUAGCCAUCAUCCUUCUAGCCUUCAUAUAAGAAACAACUAACCUCUAGGCAUAGAACUUUCCCCUUCCAUUCAAGGAUAGGCUCAUUUGGAAAUUGAAACUUGACUACACAAGUUCUACAAUCAAUAGAAACAUAACAAUGGUACAACCAAUUCUUACUAAGAAUACCAUCAAAGUAUAACAUGUCAAGCUCUACCAAGUCAACAAGAGUAACUCUAUGGGCUAACGAAACAUGACACUUCAUAUAAACCCUCUUAGCCAUAAUAGAAUUACCAACAUGAGUAGAAACAGAAAAAGGUUCUAACAAUACAUUCGGAGGAACAUCAAACCUCAUAGCCACAUAUGGCGUCACAAAAGAUAAAGUAGCACCGGGAUAUAAUAAAACAUACACAUCAAGUUGAAAAAAAAUUAACAUACCAGUAAAUACAUCUGGGGAACUCUCUUGGUCAUCUCUAGAUUGGAGUGCAUAAAGGUGGUUUUGCUUGGGAGCAUUAGAACUCGAACCACUAGGAGGAGUUUGCUUGCCCUCUCUUCUUUUAGCCUUAAGUAUUGGGAAAUCCCUCAUCUUGUGACCACUCUUACCACAACCAUAACAAACAUUCAUGCCGGAUAGACACUAACCCUCAUGCCUUCUUCUACACCUAGCACAAUCCGACCCUAAAAACCUAUUACCACUUCCUUGAGACUUAGGGUUAGACACCCUCUCUUUAUUAAACCUCGGAGGAACCUUAGAAGAACCUUGUCUGGAGAACCUUUGUUGAAAUCUAAGACGACCAUGUCCAUCGGACCUUUUGUGAGAGGAAUUAUCAUCAUCAAUUUUAGACCUCUUUUUCUCCCUAGAUCUCCCUUUAAGUUUCUCCUUUUUCAAAUCUUGGGCAUAAACCAAAGGACGAGAAAUAUCCAUAUCUUGAUCAAGCAUAGUUGUACAACAUUCUUUCACUACUAAGUCGGACACACCCAAUAUAUAUAAACUUACUCAUUAUCGACCUAGGGUCAGCCACUAUGGAUGAAGCAUACCUUGACAACUGAGUGAACCUCCAAGCAUAGUCCUAAACACUUAUGUUACCAAGAAAAAAAAAAGAUCCCCCGUUCGGAAUUUAAUUAUGCUCCCUGCCCCCCUUUCACAGAAAAUGGAGAGAUGAAUAUAUUUAUUACCGAAGGUUAAUAAACUCAAGUACCCUAGACUCUUUCAUCUCCAAAGGGUAAAACCUAUCAAGAAAACCAUUCUUAAACCUUUCCCACUCCAUAGGACCCACUUCUACCGUCCUCGCUUCUUUUCAUUGGUUGAACCAAAUCUGAGCAACCCCUUAAGUUGAUAAGCAGCCAAUUUCACCCUCUCUACCUGAGUCACUCCCAAAAAGUCCAACACCCUAUAGACAUAAUCUAUAAACUGUUGAGGAUCUUCCUCCAUCUUUGACCGAUGAAAUUCUGGGGAUUUUGUCCAGACUUGGGUCAACAUUUGAAAAGCAAACCUAAACUCCGCAUUAGUCACUUGAUCGGUCUAAGGGUCGAUCGGAACUUGAGGAGCUCCUUGGUCAACCUUGUCUCUCUCAAUUCCUUUAGUGAAAGCUCCUUCAGUAGUCAUGUCCUAUAGACCACCGGGUAAGGAUUAUGAGAGAGAACUUAUAGAGUUGAACUUUAUGGCACGACUUAAGAGUAAUGAAGGAAGUAGAGUUUCAUAAACAUCUUGUAGCCUCUCAUUCAUAAAUAUGGUGCGAUUCACACUCAUGAACAAGACUCUACUAGACGUGGCUUAUGAGACAUCAGCUUAGGAUCAUUCUAAAUCUUCUGCUCUGAUUACCAAGUUUGUCACGACCCAAGGGUACCACCUAAAUGUAACAUGGCGUAUAAAACCCCGAAGGACUCUAUAAAAGCCACUUAGCUCUCAUAACAUAAGAAAUAGAACAAUUUAGAGUAAAACAAUAUUUAUAGAAAAGUGGAAGUUUAGAUACUUUGUCUCAUCAUAGCCAUCUAUAACAAUCGAAUGAAAUUGGGCCUAGCCCACACAUCAUGUCCAAAAGAGAAAUACAUGAAAGAAACUAAAUACAAUAAAACUCCGUCCUCGAAGAAUAAGGACUCACCAAAGCUCGAAAUCCCUAGAUCCACACUUAGCCACGAAACUGAUGACCCUGCCUGUCGCACCCUACAUUUGAAAAAAUGUAGGCAAGAAUAUGCGUUAGUACAAAAAUGUACUAAGUAUGAUAAUUAUGCAUAAAAACAUUUAAAACAUGCUAAAAGGGACAUUUCAUUUCAAAGAAUGCAAUUUACCAAGUUUAAACAACAUUAUAUAGAUAGUUGGAAAACAUAAGUCAUAACACCAUCUUCAAUGCAAGCUAGCACCAUCUUUAAAACCUUUGAACACUGUGAGAUACUUCUUGAAGCAUAUCUUAGUUCAUUAUUAUCUUGAUGUGGGAAUUAGCCUUAACCGACAAGAGACCAUGUGAGCUAUAACAUGAUCCCCGGAGUUUUCCACACCGAAAAGGGUUGGUCUACUUGCCUAAGGUAGAACCGGUAACUCUUAGCUUAGGUGGAUCCACUAGCAAAAUAUGAUACAGAGGCACGUAGUUUAUGAGAUACGGUGAUUGCUACUAGAAAGCCGGACUCCACUACGUGAAGACUUCCAUCUCAUGAGAUAUACUUGGGAAACCCAGACUCUACUACGUGAGAGUUCCCAUUUUGGAAGCCCAGACUCUACUACGUGAGAGCCUUCAAUUUGGAAGCUCGGACUCUACUAUGUAAGACCCUCCAACUCAUAUUCAAUAUCCACUCAGUGCUAAGCAUAAAUCCCACAGAGUACUUAUUAAGUCUUGACUUAACUCAUAUCUCAUGGAAGGAUAUCCUUGACAACCAAUAUAAGUUAGUUCAUUAGGAUAGCUCUUUAGACCAUGCGUGAGAAAACCUUUCACCAUCCAUGAUCACUUUUACUCUUAGAUUCAAUUAGGUAGAGAAAAGCCUUUCAACCUAAGAAUCCUACUAUGUGAGAAAACCUUUCACAUUAAUGUUCAUAUGUGUUCAUGAGAAUGUACUUUCAAUCAACACAACAACAAUAUCAUAACCAUUGACACUUUACUCUCAAAGCAUUCUUAAAGCAUUUUCAUAGAUUUCAUAAAAACAUGCAUAAUCUCAUACUUUGCUCUUUCAAGGUUCAAAACCUACUUUCAAUCACCACAUCUAGAAAUCAAGCAUUAGAUAGGGAUUUCAUCAUAAUUCAUGUGAUUCUAUCACCUUAUGCAUUAAUUCAUAAAAUUCCUCUUUCAUCGACAAAGACCCACAUCAUAAGAAAACAAUUGAGAAAUAUGGAAAUUACAUGGGUUGAUGGGGGGAACUUCAGAAAAACCAUAAUAAAUCAUCAAUUCAUGCUUAAUAUAACUCAAUUCAAUUAAUUAAAUCAAGUUUGAAAGGAACCCAUGACUUUUGAAUCAAACCCUAAUAAUGAGGGAUUUCUAUCUUUUGAAAUUGGAGAUUUUGAGGGAACUCCAUGGAUGAAAGCUACUAUAUAUUAAAACAAACCCCAAAGAAAUUGAUGUGUAAAAGCUUGCUUCUUGAAACCUAGCUUGAAUCUCCUUCUUAUUCUUCUUCAAGUUUCUAGAGAGAUAAAUAUUUUAAGAGGAGGAACUUUGGGGAUUUGUUUUGGGUUUUGGGUUUUGGGUUUUGGGUUUUGGGAAUAAUUAUUUGAAUGGGUUAGUUUUAGAGUUAAAAUCACUUAUAUAGGGGUCCUAGGCUUAGGCAAAACGACUUGGAUUUAUUUUAAUUAAAUAUGAAAUUACCCAAAUAACCCUCGCUUGCUAGUGCACUGCCCAAGGACCACCUGAGGUCCCACGAGCCAUGGUCUUCACCACGAGCCGUGGUCCACUCUGUGGACCAUGGGUCAAUAGCUAGGUAAGUUUCCCUCUCACCCCAAAAUCCUAAGGCAACUCCAUGAGCCUUCCCAUGAGCUGUGAAGUGGCUCGUGAAGAGGGGUUGUUUUUAGGCAGCCUUGGGGAGGCAACUGCCUAGCCCACCAUGAACCGUGGUCCUCACCAAGAUCCGUGGUGGUGGUCGUGGUUGAUGGAGCAGUGUCUAUGGGAGAGUGGACUACCCUAGUCCUUUCUCUUGGCUUUUGCCCUCUUGGCUCUAACCCUCACACUUAGCCCUAGUUAAGUCUACUAGUUUCUAGGGUGUUACAUAAACCUUUCUGGAAAUACUUACAAAAUUGGGGGGUGAAUUGUGCACCUCUAUCUGAAAUGAUAGAUACGAGAACUCAAUGUAAUCGGACUAUCUCCUAAAUAUACAACCUGGCAUAAUCUUCUGUUGAAUAAGUAGUCUUAAUCGGCAAGAAAUAGGAUGAUUUAGUCAUCGGAUCUACAAUCACCCAAAUCAAAUCAUAUUGACUACGAGAUCGCAGAAAACCAGUAAUGAAAUCCAUAUUGAUCAUCUUCCACUUCCAUUUCGGAAUAUCUAUAUUCUGAGCCAUGCCACCGAGCCUCUAAUGAUCUACCUUGACUUAUUGCCAAUAGACUUCUCUCAAGUCAAGAUACAUCUUUGUGGAACCGGGAUGGAUUGAAUAAGUGGAGCUAUGAGAUUCUUCCAUGAUCCUCUCUUUGAGUCCAUCCACCUUUGUUACAUACAAUCUACAUUGAUACCUCGACACACCAUCUCCCUCUUGUUCAAAAGCCAUCACUUUCUGCUUAUGAGCAUUUGUCUUCAAUUCAAGCAAAACAGGGUUUUGAUCUUGUUUCUCCUUCACUUCAGACACUAGUGAUUAUUCAACCCCAUUCAUCACUACCACUCCACCUUCAUUGGAAUCUAACAAACGAACUUGUGCAAGUAUAUGCACAUCGUUGGCUAAUUCUUUCUUUCCUUUAUCAUUAUGGGCAGUACAACCUAUGGAUAACUUAUUCAAAGCAUCAACAACAACAUUAGCCUCACUUGGGUGGUAAAGAAUACUCAUGUCAUAAUCCUUAAGUAACUCUACCCACCUCAUCUGUCUGAGGUUAAGCUCUUUCUGAGUAAAAACAUAUUGAAGACUCUUGUGAUCGGUGAACACAUCCACAUGAACACCAUAGAGAUAAUGACGCCAUAUUUUCAAGGCAAAUACUACCGCUGCCAACUCGAGAUUAAGAGUCAGGUAAUUCUUCUCAUGAAUCUUACGUUGUCUGGAGGCAUAGGCUAUAACCUUACCAUUCUGCAUCAGUACACAACCAAGUCCAACUCUAGACGCAUCACAUUAAAUAAUGAAGCCUUGUGUACCUUCUGGUAGGGUCAACAUCGGGGUAAUAAUCAACCAAGUUUUCAAUUCCUGAAAGCUCUUCUCACAAGUUUCUGACCAUUGAAACAUAGUCAUUUUCUUAGUCAACUUAGUCAACAUGAAUGAAAUAAAUGAGAACCCCUCAACAAAGCUUCUACAAUUACCAGCCAAUCCUAAGAAACUCCUUAUAUCAGUUGGAGAUGUGGGUCUAGGACAGUUCUGCACUGCUUCAAUCUUCUAAGUGUCAACUCGAAUCCCUUCACUAGACACAAUGUGGCCUUAGAACGCCACAGACUCAAGCCAAAACUCACAGUUGGAAAAUUUAGCAUACAACUCCUUAUCUUUUAGUAUUAGAAGGACUACUCUAAGAUGACUAGCAUGAUCUACCUCGUUCCUCGAAUAAAUAAGGAUGUCAUCAAUAAAUAUGAUAACAAACAUGUCAAGAUAAGGCUUAAACACUCUAUUUAUAAGACCCAUGAACGUUGCAGGAGCAUUAGUCAAGUCAAAUGACAUAAUCGGAAACUCAUAAUGACCAUAACGGAUCCUGAAUGCUAUCUUAGGGAUGACACUUUCUCUUACUCUCAAUUGAUGAUAGCCAUAUCUAAGGUCUAUCUUAGAAAAACAAGUGGAAGCCUGAAGUUGAUAAAAAAAUCAUCAAUUCUCGAAAGUGGAUACUUAUUCUUGAUAGUGACAUUGUUCAAUUGACGGUAUUCAAUACACAUUCUGAGAGAACCAUCUUUCUUCCUCACAAAUAAGACCGAAGCACCCGAAGGUGAGACACUAGGUCGAAUAAAUCCCUUAUCAAGGAUAUCUUUCAAAUGCUCUUUUAACUCUUUCAACUCUCCUGGAUCCAUUCUAUAUGGUGGACUAGAGAUAGGUCGAGUAUCAGGAAGAAUACAAAGUCUAUUUCUCUCUCAGGAGGGACUCCGUAAAAAUCAUCUAAAUAGACCUCUGGAAACUCACUCACAAUUGGAACUGAAUGAAUAGGUGGUGUCUCAACACUAGAGUCAUUAACUCGGACUAAGUGAUAUAUGCACCCCUUGAAAACUAACUUUCUGGCCUUAUGGUACGAAAUAAAAUGACCCUUAGCUAGGCACUGCUGAAUUUCUCCUCCACUCUAUAAUUGCCUUAUUAGGAAAUUAGAACUUAACUAUUCGAGUUCUACAAUCAACUCAGGCAUAACAAGCAUAAAGUCAGUCCAUACUUAGAAUAAUAUCAAAGUCCACCAUAUCUAACAUGACUAAGUCAGCCAUGGUGUCCUUGUGAUUGACAGAGAUGACACAAUCACGAUAAACUCUCUCAGCUAGAAUAGACUCACCAACAUGUGUGGAAAUAUUGAAGGGCUCAAGAAGUUGUUCGGGAAGAAUGUCAAACCUCAUAGCAACAUAUGGAGUCACAAAAAAUAGACUCGCACCUGGAUCAAGCAAUGCAUAUACGUCAAAAGUAAAGACUUUGGUUAUACCAGUGACAACAUCUGGCGAAUUCUCCUGCUUGUAGAGACUGGUCAUAGCGUAUAUAUGAUUAGAUCCUCCAUUUGUCCCUGAAGUAGCUAUUCUAGGUGCACCUCUGUCAGGCGGAGCCGCUGAAGAAGAUUGGGCUCUAUUGCCCCAAUUACCAUUUCCCUGUCGGUUCUUCGGGCACUCUCUCAUGAAGUAAACAUCUUGACCACACUUGAAGCAACCAGUAGAGCCAUCCCGACACGCUCCUAGGUGGUUUCUACCACACUUAGCACAAGUAGGGGUCCAGUUGGCCCCUUGUGCCACACUACCCUGAGAUUGAGGAGGCCUAGCUUUGAAGUUCUGCGAAUUCAAAUUCUGGAACUCACUUCUAUUCUUUGGUGCAAGUGCACUAGCAGAUGAUAGAGCAUGCCAAGUUGGCCUUUGCAGAAAAGAUGACCGGUUCACAUUUCCGGCCUUUUGCUGCCCGGAAUCAUUACAUGUUGUCUUAGCCUUCUUGUUUCAAAACUCUUCCUUAUCUCUGAGUUUAUCUUCCUCAACCUGUUGUACAUGGAUCAUGAGCCUGGCUAUGUACAUGUCUCCUAUCAGCAUAGUUAUCUUGCCCUCCUUACUUGACAAGCGAGACAACCCAGACAUGAACAAGCUCAUCCUGUUCCUCAUAUCAACCACCAUCUUCGAAGCAUAACGGGACUGAGUUAACUUGAGGCUAUACUCAUGCACACUCAUGGAUUCCUGCUUCAAGUAAAGAAAUUAUCUUACCUUCGCCUCCCUCAAAGCCCCAUGAAUUCACUUCCAAACACAGCCCAACUCAAAAUUGGUGCCCAUUCAGCUUUACUUGACUUUUAUUGGUCGAACCAAAUUCUAGCAACACCCUUCAGUUGGUAUGCAACUAACUCCACACGCUGAACAUCUGUAACAUGCAUCACCUCACACACUUUCUACAACUCUUCCACAAAGUUUUCUGGAUCCUCAAUGAAACAUGAUCCUGUGAAGUCUAGAGGAUUCAUCCUUAAGAACUCACGAACUCUAAAUGUACAAUCACAUCCUGUCGAACCUCUCUCUCUCUU